Molecule: long non-coding RNA, 77779 nt
Filed under: Sorghum bicolor (sorghum)
Lineage: Eukaryota; Viridiplantae; Streptophyta; Magnoliopsida; Poales; Poaceae
Description: long non-coding RNA (SBIC_LNC001390)
Source: RNAcentral
GCAAGCGCACUGCCGGCGGUGGUGAACAACCACACCUCCGCCGCCCGCCAACUCCGCGGUCGUUCCGGCGGCUGGCAGAUGGCCAAGGCCACCUGGUACGGCGCGCCCUACGGCGCCGGCCCCGACGACAACGGUACGUACGUACGUAGUAGUGUGUCAGUUUCCGCCAUGCAUCGUCGUCGGUGUGCGCCGCCAAUGCUAGCUGUCGUGCUGACAUUUCGGAUUUUGCCAAUGUGCCGUGGCUGACAUUGUGCUGUCCUUGCACCGACGAUCGGUGUUUCUCUGCAGGCGGCGCGUGCGGGUUCAAGAACACCAACCAGUACCCGUUCAUGUCCAUGACGUCGUGCGGCAACCAGCCCUUGUUCCAGGACGGCCAGGGCUGCGGCGCAUGCUACCAGGUACUACUCCAAUCAACUUGCUGUUUAUAUUACCCGUCCACUUGUCCGCUUCAUUUAAUUCAAAUCGGUCAACUGUAUUAGUAGCUAGCUAGCAGAGUGUAUCUUUUUUCCCCUCGAAUCGAAGUUAAUAGCGACAAUUUUUAAUUUGGUGCGUAUGUAUCAGUGCCCACGCUAGUGGAAUUGUUGAGGUCAAACGGAAGCAUCUUUUCACGUUCUCUUACUUUUGAUCUAAAUAACAAUACAGAUCAGGUGCACCGCUAAAAACAACCCAGCCUGCUCCGGCGAGGUGAAGACGGUGAUGAUCACGGACAUGAACUACUACCCGGUGGCGAGGUACCACUUCGACCUGAGCGGCACGGCGUUCGGGUCCAUGGCGAGGCCGGGGCUCAACGACAAGCUCCGGCACGCGGGCAUCAUCGACAUCCAGUUCAGGAGGGUGGCCUGCAACAACCGGGGGCUCACCGUCAACUUCCACGUGCAGGCCGGCUCCAACCCCAACUACCUGGCGGUGCUGGUGGAGUACGCCAACAAGGCCGGCACCGUGGUGCAGAUGGACGCCAUGGAGGCCAACUCCGGCCACUGGAUGCCCAUGCGCCGCUCCUGGGGGUCCGUCUGGCGGCUCGACUCCUACCGCGCGCUCAGGGGCCCCUUCUCCAUGCGCAUCCGCAGCGAGAACGGCAGGACGCUGGUGGCCAACAAUGUCAUCCCGGCAAACUGGAGGGCCAACACCGACUACCGCUCCUACGUCCAGUUCACUUAAGCGACCACAUAAUUAUUAACCCAUCAUCAUCACUGGUAUAUAUGAUUAAUCAUAUACAAGGUGGUGCUAAGGUUGGUUAUUUAUUUGGGAGUAGUAGAGUGUAUUGUGUGAUUAUUGCAAAUUCUUUUUGGUUUUUGCAAUGGGUUCGGCGAGUUUUUCCGUGUUGUCAUUGUGUGUAUCUGAGGCGCGUCGGAAAUGGAGGAGGCAAAGUGUUAUACAUACAUGUUGUCUCCCGCCUACCGUCCAAACUCCAAUGUUUGUACAACAAGUAGGUACGGUGCAUACAAUGUGUGACCAAAUCAGGGGGGCUAUGUAUGCAUCAAGUCAUGGUCAGCAAAUACAUUUCUGAUUAUUCCAGUAUAUGUGUAUUUUUUUUAAAAAAAAAAUCCAAGGCCAUUACGUCGUCCCAGCUUAUAUUGAAAACUUAUAUGAGUGUACGAUGACUGGGUAUACCAGUUUGACGAUAAUGAUACAUCAAGCGCAGCUAAACGUGUGGAAACAUCAAUUCUACCUCUACUCAACAAUAAUAAAACAUCUAGAGGCCACCCAUUGCAACAAAAAAAUAAAAGGCUAAACUCAGAUGAGAUAAAAGGUUAUCCCCCACCCCCAGGUUUUAAACCAAUAAAAAACUUGACGCAUUUAGAUUUCCUUCACCUCAUCAACAACUCGCAUUACGAAUUUAGGAUCUCCUCCACCAGUGCAGCUUUUUUUAUCCUUCAAGGCCACCCUACAUUGAUUGAUCAUCAUCUUGCCCUGAAAUCGCCUCCCUGGGUACUUGAGCAGCUUGUCCUCCAAAGGUCACAUCGUUCCUCAUCUUCGAGAGCGCCCAUAUCAUACCUCCACAACAAAUAAAGUAAUUUUCCAUUAAGGAUUUCCGUUUUAGAGUCGGUUCCGUUAAGAAAACCACAUCUAAAUAUGUUAUUUUCAAGGACUGUUGGUUAUGUCAACUGUCCCUAGCUAAAAAUGAGUAAUUUUUAGAGGCGGUUCUUUUAAGACAACUACAACUAAAAAUCAAUUUUCAAAGACAGUUAACUAAGUCAACCAUCCUUAAAAAUAGCAGCCGCACAAAUAAAUUCAUAUCUUUUUAAAAUGAAGUCAAAUGAAUACAAAAUUUAUAUCAAAAUUAUAGAGCUUGACGAGAUCUAAAACUUUGUAGACGAUAAAAUUUUUGUUUCAGAGCACUUAUGGUUCCAAAAUUUUAAAUUAAGUCUCAGAGUUUUUCAUUUUAAUUUUUAAAAUGUUUCAAACGACCUUGGAUGGGGAAAUGUCCUAUAUGAAACUCUCAAUGAGAUUUUUAAAACUUUAUAGUUGAAAAUUUUCCCAUUUAAGGUUGUUUAAUAGCCUAAAUAUUGAUUACAAGAUCCAUACGUAUUAGUACAAAUGGAUAGCAAUGUAUAUCUCGACAUAAGUGACUAUGAAUGAACCAUGUAAGGUUACGAGUUUAAAUCCUAAUUCUUGCACUAUAUCAUAAGAUGGUGAAAAUCAAAUUCAAUAAGUGGUUGGUUGGUCUUCUUGGCCUUUAGCCACACUAAAUAUUUUUUCUUAUUUUUAUUAUACUCUAAAUGGUUUUAAAAAUUCUAAAAAUUAGUUUUAGGGAUGGUUGAGUUAAGUCAACCAUCUCUGAAAAUUGAUUUUUAGGAGUGUUUGUCUUAAGAGAACCGUCUCUCAAAAUCACUUAUUUUUACAAUUGGUGGCAUUGUACGGUUUUUAAACCGCUUCUGAAAAUCGAUUUUAACUACCUCUAAAAGUCUUUUUUUACUAGUGAUUAUUACUCUCUAUACAAUCCGGUAGACCAUGCUAGUAUUGUGAUCCGCUUCUAGAUUUGACUUGGAAGGUAUUAUUUCCUAGGUAUUCAUUCCUUAGCUAAUUGCAUAUACAUGGUUAUUCUCUCCUCUUUCCAAUCUAUCAAUCCAUUUGAAGAGAAGACAAAUAUUCAUCUCCCUCACAUCUAUGAAACUAGUCCUACAAAAUCAUUUGGUUUAUCCAAUGCAUCCCACUUAACCAUAUGGUACUUCUUUUUUCCCAUAUCAUUGCCAAAAGAACUGAGAUCUAGCUGAAUGUAAUUGUUGAUAUGGCCCCCUUCAUACAAUUGAUACACACCCAUUGCAUACAUAGACACACUUGACGGGUAUGAUUCAAUUAGUAUCGUCUUCUCUCUUGAAGAUAGAGUGUCGCCUUUCCAGGUUCCCAACAUUUUAAAGAUUUGCUCAUUUACACAAUUUAAUUGGGCCUUAGUAAGUUUAACACAUUGCUCAUUUGGAGCCCCAAGUAUUUGAUAGGUAAUUGGGGAAGAUUUGUUGUUUAGAAGAUUCACCACUCUAGUUUGUUCCUCAACUUCCACUCCCAUCCCACACUUUACUUUUUUCAUAGUUCAUCUGCAUACCUAACAUUGUUUUGUAACACAUCAAAAUUCUAAUGUCAUUGUCUGUUAGUUCCCAAAAAAUUGUAUCAUCGGUGUAUUGAAAAUGUGUGAGACCAAGUGUGAGACCAGACCUGUUAAAUGCCCAUUCCUUUGUGCACUAGACAACAUAACAGAUAUGGCAUCACUGACUAAAUUGAACAAUAGAGGUGAUAAGGAAUCACCCUAUCCUAUUUUAUGGCUUCUAAAGUGGUAGAUGCAGAUUCAUGCAAGAUACUUAUACCUAGAAAACUCAUUUUGGUUCAUUUGACGAUGUUGACAACCAAGCUUGUUGUGGUGACGUUGCAUCUAACCUCUUUAUUGUUCAUUGCACACUCCCUCGCUCGCAUGCUCAACACUACAUGCAUGCUCUACCAUAGAUGUGAACUCCUUAAAAAACAAGAUUAUUUUGUGAUAGAUAUAGUAAUAGUUAACCAAAAACCUUAAGAUCAUAUAAGAGGUCAAAAACACACUAUUAACAAAUAUUUUGUAGGUGAAGGAAAGAAAUCUAGCCUCUAAAAAUUCAUAAUAAACACCAUUGCUUUUUUCUGUGCUGAGAAAAAAGGCAUCUGGACUACCCACUUUUGCACCGACAGUUUCUCCUCCCAUUCUACGCUUUCAUACCUCAUCGAUAGGGCAAAGAAGCAUGCAACCAGGUUCUUUUAAUAGUCACCUAACACAUCAAGUGACCUAUCAACCAUGCCAAAGGUGUUUUGGCCUUCUUCGUUUGUCUCAAUCUUGAAUCAUUGUGUUUUAGUGCUAUAUUGUAGCAACAAGUCACGUUAAUAGGGUCGGGUGGUCUCCUAACCACAUUCAUGGAAGAUGAUCUUUGCACCUACUAUAAUCUUUCUUCCUUGACCAUGCUAUUGAGGAAAGGUCAUUAUACAAACCUAGCCUUGUCUUAUUGUCCUCCUCACACUUAUACUAUUAAUAUAUCUUUGUGGUGUUGAUUAUUUAUUUGUAUCCUUCAUGUUGCAUCUUGUUACGAAUUUAACCUUAUUUGGAUUAGUUGGUAAUAUUUAGAUACUUGAAAAUUUAAUGUCAUAAUCUUAAAAUUGAUUCUAUUUUAAAGUUCCAAAACUACAGAAUACUUCAAAGUGAAAUAGUACAACAAUGUAAUGUGUGACACGCCACCCUCUAGAGGAACAAUUUGCAUACAUGUGUGCACAUUUUAGGAUCAAUUUGUACGUGGGAGUCUUGCAUUUCCUUACUGACGGAUAUAUGCCUAUGUAAUUUACAUCUUCUACUUCUCUAAUCUGUAUAAUGUCAUCAAUAUGUAAUAGAGUAUAAGUCCCACAACCAAACAUUAAAAUGAUGAAAUAAUAUAAAAAUAGGGCAAGUAAUAAAAUCCAGUGCAUAGCUGAGAAUAAAUAAAUAAGCUCAAUGUAAUGUUGAUUUUGACAUACCCGAUACACCAUACUAAGUAAAAUGCUACAAUGAAACAAGACACAUACAUUUGAAAGUACCACGCAUAUUUCAUGAUAACAAAGUUGCUCACACUCUAGCAUAAGAGAAUACUAUGAUGCUUAACUGACAUAUAUAGGAUGAACUAAUAGGCCACCAUGCAACGUGGCGUACUAGAUGGUGAUAAAACCUAGUUCAUGUCCAUGUUCAUCAUCCACUGAGUAUCAAGAAGAUCUCCCAGCUUAUCACUAGUCCAGUCCAAGUGGCCCCUAUCUGCCUCCAUGGUCGGAGCCACUAAAGAACUACUAGUUCCCAUUUGCUCUUGUUGUUGGCCAAUAGCCAAGGUGGGCAUCUGGAUAUUGUUACUACUUCCAUGGCCAGUGUGGUAUUGGACUGAUGACCAAGCAUGGGCAUUGUUUAUGGAAGUAGGAUGUCCACAAAAGCUAUAGUGAUUUGUGUUGUAGACACCUCCACCAGAGGUGGCCCCCUCCCAGGCAGAAGCAUUUGUUUGCGGCAAGGGCUCAAAAUCAUAAAGUCCAAUGUCAUUGAUGCUAUAACGCUGCUUCUUGGUGCCAUUUUCUUUCCUAAGGAAGUACUUUUGUGCAUGGCUAGAAACCUGCACUGGUGUCUUGGAGGUAACAAAGUGCCUAGAGAUGUUCUUCCAAUUUCCGCGCCCGUACACAUGUAGACCACGGAGGAAUUGCCUACAAUGAGGUAGAGUUUGAAGUGAACUAAUUAGAUAUAAGUUUAGGUUCCAUUUCCCCAUAUAUUCAAGAUUCUUUGAAGAAAAAUAAUAUAUAAACACUUCAUCAUCAUAAUAAUACCUCAUAACCUAUGCUUAAUAAGGGUACUAAAACUUCAUGUGACAAGCAUUAUAAUCUAUAUGAGAUGCUUUAGGGAUCUAGCAAAUAACUAACCUAUGCUCGUCUGUGGUCCAAAACCUCCUAUUGUGCUGGCUCUCCUUUCGAGGAGUGGGCUUCCUCCGUGGAGUCUCCUUUACAUUCCUUGUGCUGAACAUCUCUUUUUGAUAACCACCAAAUGCUUCCAUGUUGCCCAUGGAUAGACCCCCCACAAACACCCCAAAGGGUUGAUUCAUGAGGUUGCUACUUGCUUCCACAUGUUGGUUGCCACUCUGCAAUGUUUGCAUCACCACCACUAUGACAUCAAUAUACAAGUCAGUUACUUGAUGCUUCUCCUUGCUAGGGAACAUUACCUGGAGCUCAUCCAUAAUUUGAUUGUGCUUCUUGUUCAUAUCACUAGCACAAUUGUUGUUGGCGUUGUCCACUUCAAUGAGAGAUUUCACCAUGCUGACCUCAGAGGCACUCCACUCUCCCUUGAACUUGGGAUCCAUGUGGUUGAGUACUAUAUAUGCAACAAUUGGUAGUUUGAGCUAAGAACAAGGGUUGUUGGGUUGUGGAGAUCGGCAAACACCAAGACUGGUAUUUAUAGGCUUCAUGUGAAUCUUUUUGUCCUAAUUUUAAUUAAUUGGACAAUUGAAUUUGAUAUAUAUUAUAUAGUAUAUCUCUACUUAUGUGACUUUUUUCUCAAAUGCAUUAAUAUUUAGUGCUAGAAAUUUGCUAUAAGCUCCGUAUACAUAUUGUCAACUUGACAACGCCAACAGUUUUCCUAUGUGCGCCCAUGUAUGUAGCCAUUGACGGGGUGACAUGUGUGGUCAUGCAUAGCCAUACCGCCACUAAAGUCAUUCAUAGGCACACAAGAUAGAAUAAUACCAGCAUCUGGUUUAGCUACUAUUAGUUGACUACAUCGUCAAUGGGAAAUUCUAAUGAUUACAAUGCUUCAUCUCACACGAGUGAUAUAUAUUUAUCUAUUAAAAUAUCUUGAUGAGCUACUGCAACAUAAAUGAUCACGAACAUUUCAAAUAUUGUAAUAAUAUAUGGAUAUCUUUUCUUGUGAUAUGGUAUUUAAUAGUUUUGUUCGGUAGAAAUGUACCAAAUGAAUAUCAGUGUAAGUAAUUUUGUUAAUUGAGAGUAUACAACUAAAUUAGUGUGUGCUUGGUUGGGUCUUCCCUGUUUUCUUGAGAAGUUAUUUCGAAUGACCUACGAAGAUAUGAAUUGCAUAUUUUCUUGAUAUGUUCAUGAUUUAUGUAUGCAUGCAAGAUAGAUUUUACUAACUAAUUUGGUAACAAUGUUUCUAUUGCGCCAUAGAUGACUCUUUGUUGAUCAGCCGCAAACCACCCGUGGUCUUUUCAUUAAAGGCUACAAGUGCUCAUAAUAAUUAGUUGACACAAAAGAGCAAGAAUUUGAGUUAACCUCAGUAAAGUGUCUUAAAUAUUCAAAAACCAUUUUAUCCUCAUAUAUUUGCACUUUCAUUUCACCUUGGGUUCAAUGAGCUCACAAACUAAUAGUAUAAAUACAAUAAGUGGAAUAACUAUAUUUAUCUUCAAAAGGAAUAUGUCCAUACAAUGAUAUUCCUAAAUAUAGCAUAUGUAGAUUGAAAUGUGAUAUACUUAAUCAGUGUCCAUGUUACACAUAAACCUACUAGUUUCCUCAAUUUAACAAAAAACAAACAACUUAGACUCAAAGGUAACUAGUCGUGGUUUGUCAAAAAAGAAGCAAGAUAUACGCAUAUAUGUGAUAAAGUUUGACUAACAAAUCAAAAUAAUGUCACAAAAUAGUGCAUAGUUAUGAUAAAAUUUUUGUUUCACCAUGGAUCAAAUUGAUGAUGGACCUUGGGUGUUGACCAUUUACGACGAACUAUGAUGUUACCACAAAUAUUGUCAUUGAACACCACAUAAUAUCGUCAUAGAUUACAUGCGUCGCUCGCAUUACUCAUCAAUAAUGCUUUAUUUUUGAACCAAAAUGAAUACGACUUCGACACUAAACCAAUUACUCAUAUGUGAUGCUCUAUUUUCAAACUCCAUCAUUAAACCAUUUAUAAAGACAAAAGUGUUAAAAUAUCUAUCUUUUUAAUAAUGGUUUCUAGAAACUAAAAGAACGCAAAAGAAUUAAGUGUCUCUUAAGACUUAAAUCAUAACUUUUAGCUCACACAAUGUUUGGCAACCACCUCAGUAUACACUCACUUUUGAGUAUAUAUAUAUGAUGCAAUCUUUUCAUAUGGACAUUUUAUAACAUUAUAUUUGAUAUUUUGACUACUAAAUGAACAUAACUAAAAAUGUUUUAGCUAUAAAAGUUUUAAAUCAGUAGUACAACUUUGAUAUAGGAUGUGUCUCGUCCAAAAUUGUUUGGAAACAUUUAAAACUUGAUUCUCAAAUUGUAUGAAUUUAAAUAAACAUUCAAGACUCCAAGCAACUUCAAAUAAAAACAUAUCAAUAAUAAAAUAAUGGGAUUAAGUUGGCCUCUAAAUUUGGUAUGAACCAUAUGAACAUUCAAGGUUGGUUGAAAACUUAAAAUUUUCUAAUACGUGAACUUAAAAUAAUAUUUGGGACACUAAAUGGUUUCAUAUCAAAAUCUUUUCAACUAAAAAUUUAUAGACUGCGUGAAUACCUACAAUUUUAAUAUAAAGUUUGUCUUCAUUCAACUUUAUAUAGAAAUUUUAUAAAUUAUUUUUAAGCAACUUCAAAAAAAAUUAGAAAAAUGGUAUGCGGCGUGUAAUUGUAGGCCUACCUUGCGAGGCCCAUCAUGCUACGUAUUUGUUGGUCCACCAUAUCAUUUACAUCAAACAUAAAAAACCCCAAAAAUAAGCAUAGAUGUUUCUCAAGGCUAAAUCCUCAACCUUCCACUUACACUACACCUUCAUAUUACUGUACUACACAUUCAUUUAUGAUUAUAUAUAGUAUGCUAUCAUUAUGUAUAAAAAUUUUAUAAUCCUGUAUUGAAUAUUUUAGCUACUCAAUACACCUAAAUGUUUUUUGAUUUAAAUCUACUCAAAUAGUGCAUCUUCGGUCUAAGAUGUGUCUCUAUCCAAUACUGCUUAAAAUUUCAAAAUUUAAAUAUUAAAAUGCGUGAAUGUAAAAUAAAUAUUUGAUAAUCUAAAUAACUUCAUAUAAAAAUCUUAUCAACAACAAACUCAUAGAUUAGGUUGGCCUCUACAACUUUCGGUUUAACCAUGUAAUACCCGAUUUUAAGGACAAAACCAGAUAUGCACCAUAUGUGAGUUUUAGAAGCCAAGACUCACAUAUAGCUACAAAUAAGGGGUAAUAUCAAAAGACAAUGCAUAAUUAUAUAACGUACAUAAUAUAAAAGAGAUAACCUUUAGCAAACAGCGGAUAGACAUCUCCAAACUUCGGGUAUUAACUUCACUCUACAGGAUCCAACUGACUGGUUGAUCACAAGCCUAAACUUCUCCUGAGGUUUGGGGAAAAUAGCAAGAGUGAGUCCAUGUCGAACUCCACAAGUAUAGCAACUAGAUUGUAUAACUUCCACAAUCUCAUGACCAAUGUGACAUAAAUAAUGUAAAGCAUUAAACAAUAAACAAUGAGCAUAUUUAACACACAAGAUUCAUCACCCUUAAUGUAGAUGUCCCCAAGGCCGCUCCUGACCGUGAGCUCGGCUAGUAUACUAGUUUUAACACUCUGCAGAGGUUGUACAUCUUUACCCAUGAGUCAUGAUUUACCCUUUCGCCCGAGGCCCGUCGACCUCUUAACCCACUACCAAGGAAGGUCGGCAGGGAUCACUAUGAAGCCUUUCAAAAGUUCGUCUAACAUGUUAGGGCCGCAAGGUUUCCUUUGCGAGCAGAUAUAGAUACCCCCCUUCCGAAUGGCACAAUGACGCGCAGCCUAUACACAUAGGGACAGGGGCUCGCACUAUACCCGUGUCGGUUCAGCCCCUCUAGCGCCCUUUCGGGUAACCUCUAACAAGCUAGAAAAGGUCUUCAUACUGAGCUAAAGCCAGAGCCAUUAUAGCCCUCAUGGUUGCACUGUUGUCCCGGGUGAUCACGUACAGACAAAUCAUCAAGUGGCUAAAAAGUCAUUUUUAUCAUUUAUUACUUAACAUUAAUCUAGUCACAGGAUCAUGGUCACAGAAAUAAAACCCAAAUGCUAUACUUGCCUUAAUCCAAUUGCUCUUGCUUAUCCUUUUGGUCCUGUUGGUCUCACAUAUCCAAAACUCUGAUCUUGAUCACCAAAAACUGCUCUCCGUCUAAACUCGAUCAUCGAUCACACAAACAAUCGAAGAAAACAUACACGAAGCAAACAAGGCUACAAUUAGAACAGUACACCAAACAUAUAAAAACAGUAUGAAAAGUUUAUAAAAUGAUUCUACGUAUCACUACAAUUUCAUCGACGUAAAGAUCACUUAAAUCGGAUUUGAAACGGAGAAGUUAUGAAUUUUCUAAGAUUUUAUAUAGAAAAGUAAUUAAUUAAAUGGGAUCACGAAAUUAAAAGGUUUCAAACUGAGAAAACAGUGUUACAGAAAACAGUGUUACUAACAUGUAGAGCUCAUGAAAACGAACCUAACGCAAUUUAAACAGUUCAAAUCGGAGAUAAAAUAAGUAUUUUAUGUCUAAGACAAACUAGUGUAUUUUCUUUGUAUUUCUAGAUUUGUUUUUCUAAAGAAAAACGUCCACAAAACAUAGUGAUGUCAUCAUGUGAUCAUCAUGACAUGAGCACAACUGUUGAUUAAUUAAACAAUAGAUAGACAAGAUGAUCUGUAGACUGACCUUAAUUUAAUAUGUAUAAUUGUUGUCAAGGCGACGGUGUUUAAGAAUCAAUCGAUCGUUAGUUGCAUCCGUUGCACUUGAAGUUUCUCGGUAUGCAGAUAGACAUGCAUGGUGGAAGCGAGGUAGCAAAUUGCAGGCUGCGGCUGAUAAAAUCAAGCACUGAAUUGCUCAGGCUAACUAGAUACAGCAGAGAAAGAAAUUGUAACCAUAUAAAUGUUCAGUGCUCACCAAUGCCAAACAAGGAUCGACUGCCAAGGUUAUGCACGGGAUGGUGAAUCAUAGACUGGAUCUCGAUGUCACGACAGACGGUGAUUAGACUUGCGGAUGAGGAACGGCCCACGGUGUUUUCCACAGCGUAGAUGAUCAGGCCCCGGUCAUGAAUUCGGAACAGCUGCCCAACGACCUGGCGUCGGCGAUGGCUGCGGCGAAGUUCGGCAACCAUAGAAUACGAAAGACAAGAAUACAGAAUCGAAUGGUAAAAAGAUCACUUGGAUCAGGAUAAGCCUCACCUCUUCCAGCAAAGAACGACAGCACGCACAUGACUUGGUCAGGGCAGGGCUCAUGGCUCUCAAUCGUUUUAUCCAUGUUUUGCUCGGCAUCGACUUUUCAACGUCGGAAGAACUUUGGCGGCGGCUCGGGAGAAAAUAUUUUAGAUAGCUAGAUUAGAUCAAAGAGAGACACAGGCAUGCACUUAUAACGCUAGGUUAAAACCAAGUUGGAGAAGGACUAUAUUUUAUUAUUUUCGGAAUAUUUAAUUUUAGUUAUAAAGUUAAUUCUUCAAAACCUAGAAUUAUUAUUUAAGCCAAGAAAAAUACUCCAAAAGCUCCAAAAAUUCUGGAAAAAUUAUCAGAGACAUUAUGGAAGACGAAGAACCUAAAUAAAGUAUUUAGAGCUUAUAAUAAGAUAAUUUGGAACAUCUAAAAAUUAGAUUAUGCUCAUGGAAAAGGUCGGAAAAAUUCCCGAGAACUUUGGUAGAGAUUGCUUGAUGGACGAGAAACUGAAAGGAGUAACUUAGGUACGAAAGAAAGGAUUCCGAGAGACCCUGAAUGAAAUCUUGAGCUGAGAGACAAGGAAUUUGAUUGUAGAAAAAAAAAAAUAUGCCCAAGAAGGAAGAUCGAUCUAAUAAACGUAUUUUAAAUAUUUUUCUUACUAUCAACACAUAAAGGAGCAACAAGCAUCACUUCAAAACAUAUGCACCAGCAUGUAUGCAUAAUAAUAUUGCUAUGCCUUAUAAUAAAUUUUAAUUUAAUAAAAAAUAUUAUUUUUCCUAUAUUUUCAUGAGCACAAAAAUACAAAAUUAAAUAAUUUUAUCUAUAUUUCAAAAGGAAUAAAUUUUAGGGUGUUACAAACCAUAUGAACAUUCUAGAUAGCUUGAAAUUUCUAAAUUUUGAAUUUAAAAAUAUAAGUUCUGAAAACAUAUAUUUAGAACUCGAAACAACUUUUCAAGGACAAAGUUGUAAACUAUAUUGAUAACUAGAACUUUCUGUACAGUCCAUGUCUAACAUCCAAGAUUGUUUUAGAUUUCAAAAUGAGUAACUUAAAAUAAUAUUUUAGAACUCUAAAUAAUUUCAAAUCAAAGCCUUCUCAACCGCAAAGUCAUCAAUUGUGUUGAUAGCUGAAAGCCCUAAUUUGGUUUAGUUAAUUGAUGAAACCUAUUGGACUACCCCUAUGUAUAAGUGUGAUUAUGAGAUAGGUUGGUCCAAGUCCAAGUGAUGGAGCUAAAUGGCACUCAAGUGAUAGAGAUGGCCAAAAGAUGGUGACCAAGUGCUCUAACUUAGAAAAGGAGAAAGAGAAAAACAAAAUGGUGGUCAAGGCAAAGGUAUAAAUGCAAUAUAAUGUGUUAUCAGGUUUAGGAUAGAUAGUUGUACUAUUAAGAGGGAAACUGCCAUGGUGAAUAUGGUUUUCUAGUGCCACUAGGUGAAUUAACUCCAUGCAUUUGCAUUAGGACCUAGUGAGUGCUAACAACCCUUGAAAAUAUUUGUGAAAAAUGCUAACUCAUGUAUAAAAGUGUUGGAAACAUUGUGGAGUUAACACAUUUACACAAAAGUGUUUAAGUAUUGGAAGAUUUGGAGUAGCUUUGGGUACAUCAGGCGCAUUGGUGCUAGCACCACACAAAUGAUCUUUGCAUUUGAUGGCUAACCCUAGUGCAUCAGACGAUGUCACUGCAUCAGACAAACAAGUUUGUGUCAGCCUCAUGAAAUAAUUCUUUGGACAACUUUUAGUGAAGACAUUUGACAAAUGACACCAUCUAUCCAUAAGGAGUGUUCAGUAUCACUAUUCAUGCAAAGGGAGUGUGUUUCACUGUGCAUGUUGAACGUUGGGGCUUUGUCUGAUGUGAACCAUCAGAUGUGUCUAGUGUGUUUUGAGUGGCUCUUAAUGCUCUCUGGAAUGCAUCGAACACUGGGUGAUGUUUUGUCUAAUGUGACUGUUGGUAUAAAUUAAAUACACAUAAGAAAAUAAAGUAUCUGCAAGCGCACAAAUAGUAUAUCGAUGUAGCACUUCACCCAGGAGUAUUCCAGAGUAUCAUUAUUUAUAUUUUAUCACAGAGAAGACAUGUGAUACUAACUAAGUCUAUACUUAACCCCUAAGAAAUAUCAAAAAGGACAGGGAUGAUAGAGACAAUAAAGAAGGUCACUAGGGUCAUCUCGUUCUAACCUUAUAAGCUAUAUGUAUAUUACUACUUAGGCUAGGGACAUUACUCAAGAGAAAGCACCAUAUAAGAUAUCUUUAACUUAGCAACUGCGUCCUACAUGCCACUAUAGACGGGAGAUAGACUAUAUAAGAACCAACAAGGCUAUAAAGUCACCCUCAUGAACUACCACUGAUGUGAAAUGUAGGGUGCAUCUAUGAGGAACGAUAGUCUAAGCACCACGCUUAUAUCAUGUAUACUACCCUAAUCUAGGAGCUACUAAGACUAGAGCACUCAAAAGAGAGUCGUAAACCAGAUGAAUAAUAAUAACAAUGAACUUACUUGAAUUAGAAGUUGAACACUAAAAGACUUUUAGAAGCAAGCUCUAGGGCUAGUGGAACUUGAUUCCGUAGGUACAAGCCGAAGAGGUCACCGAUAGGCCGAAGCUGGAGCCCUAACUCUUCUCCAACACUCUAUCUCCCUAUUUCUAAAUAAGACUAGUCCUAAUCUCUUGUGGACUAUAAAACUAAUCCUCUCUCAAUGAUUCUUUUGAUUCUCCAGGAACUCUUGAUGUAGAAGUGGAAUUAGGGUUUCAACCUAGAGAGAAUGCUUUCAUCUGAGGGAGGGGGCUCAGUAUUUAUAGCCGGUGGAAUGAACGUGGGCCUUUGGAUCAAACCAACUUGAACAACAAUGGAGAUUAAGCCUUGAGGUCGGUUGCUACCCUAGCACCUAGGUCGGCUGACCUGGCUCAAUGCCAGGUGGGCCCCCACCUUGCAGGGUCUCGCCUCUGGUGUUAUCUAAAAUCUUCUUCUUUCGGAGUUGCAUUGGGAUAUGCUUUUUACACCGACGUCCACCAUGUCUUCUUUUAUUUUCCUAUUUAAUCUCUAAAAAACAUAGAUAUACCAAAACUUGUGAAAUUCUGUCAGUUUAACCCCUAUCUUAUGCAUAUAUUUUAUUAUGAGCAUCUAUUCAUAUUUAGAUGAUGGUUAAAAGUGACACUUAACAACCGUUAACAAGCUCCCCCACAUAUAGACUUUUAUUCGUCCUCGAGAAAAGGUUGGAUCACUGCAAACAUAACUUUAGGACAAGUUAUCAACAUAAAACUAUUCCUAGUCAAACGUGUAUUGAGAGAUUCAAUGUGUCUAUCAUAAAAUUUUAGGCGGUUGAAAAAUGGAGCAGCUUGAAACAGAUUACCUUUUUUCGGUUACUUACCUUCUCCUCCAUGUAGUACUCUCAAAUCACUUAUAUAUGUCAUACUCUUAGAUCAAGAUGUCCAUGUGUAUAUAUAUAUAUAUAUAUAUAUAUAUAUAUAUAUAUAUAUAUAUAUAUAUAUAUAUAUAUAUAUAUAUAUAUAUAUAUAUAUAUAUAUAUAUAUAGGCUAUCUCCUAAUUCUACUUUGCUCCUGAUAACAUGUCUCCUACUUUGAAAUAUUAAGAAACUUUGCUUAGAGAGUAUGGGCUAUCUCCUAAUUCUACUUUGCUCCUGAUAACAUGUCUCCUACUUUGAAAUAUUAAGAAACUUUGCUUAGAGAGUAUGGGCUAUCUUUUUCUUCUCUCUUUUUCAAUGCUUUUCUUUGGACACUUGUCCCCUUUAUUUAUUUAUUUAAUAUUUUCCUUUUUGCAUAGCCAUAUGCUUUCUUUCUACAACUAGUAAACUUUUGAGAAAGACAAUUACAAAAGCUUGGAACAUUUAUCCCUAACAAAUUUCGUUUUGUGUUUUCUCCCAGUGUAGGAAUAAAACAUUAAGUGGAUGAAAAAAGAUUUUUUUGCGUACUCCUAGUGUAGGAGCAUCAGAUAUAUGUGGGUGUAUGUGAUCUUGAUCUUAGGCGCAUGAUAAACCUCUCCACAUAGGUGAACAAGGUUUACCAAAGCUCAACACAAAACAAGUAGCUUGUGAGCUAGUUUUCAAUAUGUAAAUUAUGUACGGCUCAAGUGGGAUAAAUGUUACUACUAAUGACUAGACAUCAAGAAUUAGGUUCUCAUUAUUCUAGCUAUAUCACAUUUCAUAAUAACUUAAGUGACAAGGGGUAAUUGUCAAAAAAAAGUGACAAGGGGUCCCUAAAAUAAGUUUUCAUCAAUAGCAAGGUUUCCGCGAAAAGUAUUAUGUGGAUCUAUCCUCGAGUCAUGAUAGCAACAUAUUUUAUUUAAUAUUUAUAAUAUUUAUGAAUUUCUAAUUUAAUUCAAAACAUGGAGCAACAUAUAUAGAGAUAGAGUGUGUUUGGUUCAUACCAGACUAUAAUUUUAAUUCUAUUUUUUUUUCAAGUUUUGUAAUCGUUUGUCACGUGGUGGUGCACCUCCCCAACACUUUUCAUGUUAUUCUUCAAGCAUAGCAAAGUGGAGACAAAAGCACAAAUAUCCAAAAAUAAAGAGUAUAAUAAUAAACCAAACUUUAUUUCGCUCUUUGGUCAAAUUGACGACAAAGUGUUGGUUACAUAUACAAUUUUGUGAAGUUUGAGACUUAAGAUUUCCAAUCAAAAGAUGGAAAAGGAUGUUCGGCCAAACAAAACCCGCCCAAAACCUGUAUUUUUAUUGUAAAAAGAAAAAGAAAAAAAAAGCAAAUAAUAAAGAAACCCUCACGACUGACUAGGAGUUCUUCCAGAUCCAGCCCUUGGCUCGCAGUACACCACAGCAGACCCAGAUCUCAACGUGCCCCUUCCCUCAGAUCUCAAUUCCCAAAUGCCCUCGCCGUCGUAGCUGCACCCCGACCCCGCGCGCUCGCUCGGAUCCAUGGGCGGGCUCAGGGCAGCAUCGCCGUCGGGCGCAGGAUCCGGAGCCGUCGCGGGGGCGGGAUCCGAUCACGGGGCGCCGCGACUGGCGAUGGCGUGUGUGCUAGCGUCAGAGGCCGCCACGGUGCUCGCCGUCAUGCGCCGCAACGUCCGCUGGGCGGGCGUCCGCUACGGCGGUGGCGACGGUGGUGCGGGCGACGACGAGCACCUUGACCACCCGCUCGUCGCGGGGCUCAAGGCUCUCCGCCGCCGCGCUGCCGCGUGGGGCCACGGUCGCUGGGCGGGAGUCGAGCCGCUCCUCUACCUCCGACCCUUCCUCGAUGUCGUCCGCUCCGACGAGACUGGGGCGCCCAUCACGGGCGCCGCGCUCUCGUCGUUGCACAAGAUCCUCACCCUUGACCUCGUCGGGCCUGGCGCACCAGCCGCUGCCGAGGCCAUGGCCGCCGUCGUCGACGCCGUCACGGCCUGCCGCUUUGAGGUCACUGACCCGGCGUCUGAGGAGGCCGUCCUGGCAAGGGUCCUGCAAGUGCUGCUUGCCUGCGUGCGCAGCCGUGCAGCACCGGCGCUUGCUAACCGCCAUGUCUGCACGAUCGUCAACACAUGUUUCCGCGUCGUGCAGCAGGCUGGAACCAAGGGGGAGCUACUGCAGCGUGUCUCCCGCCAGACAAUGCAGGAGGUUAUAAGAACUGUCUUUGCCCGCCUGCCGGACAUCCAUGUCACUGUGUUGUCCGACGAGCAGGUAUGAAGCAUUGUUAUACUUGCUAUUACUUUGCUGUGCUGAUGAUCAUGUAAAAUGUUGCUAUACCAUUCCUCCCUCAGCAUAAUAACUCAACUUACUCCUACUAUGCUUGUGUACAUUGGUCUGAAGUGUAAACAAGCGAAAUGAUCUAGGGCCUUUUUUGUACUUAGUUUAACUAAUUGUUGUCAUUUGAGCAAUAUGACCACGGUGCAAAUACUGACAAUCUGACACUAAGAUCAGCUCUUAGUUUGGAAACAAGCUUUUGUUAGUAGGAACUUGGAAGGCUCAUUAUACUAAAUGAAUUUUAUUAAUUUGCUGGUAGCAUUUGUUAUGCAGGUUACUGGUUGCAAGAACCAAAAUUUGGGUGCUGAGGAGACAGAGAACGGGAAGAGUGACUAUGUAUGUUUGAACAGCUCUGGCGAUGAGGUGGGAGAUGGUUCUGGUGUCGUGCCAGACAAAGACUUGAUGGAGCCCUUUGGGGUUCCUUGUAUGGUAGAGAUAUUGCAAUUCUUGUGCUCCCUCUUGAACAUAGCAGAGGACAUUAAGGUGAACCCAAGGAUGAGUCCAAUUGACUUUGAUGAGGAUGUGCCGCUUUUUGCUCUGGGGUUGAUUAAUUCGGCUAUCGAGCUGUCGGCUUCGUCUAUACACAGACAUCAAAAACUUUUAUCAUUUGUACAGGAUGAAUUGUUCCGCAACCUAAUGCAUUUUGGCUUGUCAAUGAGCCCCCUGAUCCUGUCGACAGUGUGCAGCAUAGUUUUUACUCUCUUUUACCAUCUGCGCCAUGAACUUAAGCUGCAAAUAGAGGCUUUCUUCUCAUGUGUUAUCCUAAGAUUAGCACAGAGUAGAUAUGGAGCAAGUUAUCAGCAGCAAGAAGUUGCCCUUGAGGCUCUAAUCGAUUUUUGCCGGCAGAAAGAGUUUAUGGCUGAGAUGUAUGCAAAUAUGGACUGUGAUUUACAGUGCUCAAAUAUUUUUGAAGAGUUAGCUAACCUUCUGUCUAAGAGUGCAUUUCCUGUGAACAGUCCUUUGUCAGCUUUAAAUGUGCUUGCUUUGGAUGGUUUGGUUGCUGUCAUUCAGGCCAUGGCACAGCGGACUGAUAAUGCACCUCAACAUCAUGAUCAAACAGUGCCAGAAAUAAGUGAAUAUUUUCCUUUCUGGCAGUUGAAGUGUGAGAGCAGUAAUGAUCCUGAUCAGUGGGUUAAAUUUGUCCACCAGCAAAAAAGCAUCAAGAGAAAGCUAAUGGUUGGUGUUGAACAUUUUAAUAGGGACAAAAAGAAGGGUUUUGAGUACCUACAAGGCGUUCAUCUUUUGCCUGAAAAACUUGAUCCACACAAUGUUGCUCUGUUCUUCAGGUACACACCUGGGUUGGACAAGAAUCUUCUUGGGGAUUACCUGGGUAAUCAUGAUGAAUUCUCUAUCCGGGUCCUUCAUGAAUUUGCUAGAACCUUUGACUUUAAGGAUAUGAAUUUGGAUGCUGCCUUAAGGCUCUUCUUGGAAACUUUCCGGUUGCCUGGUGAGUCACAGAAGAUACAGAGAAUUCUUGAGGCCUUUUCUGAGCGAUAUUAUGAACAGUCACCACAAAUGUUUGUUAAUAGAGAUGCAGCUCUGGUGUUGUCAUAUUCUGUAAUCAUGCUCAAUACUGAUCAGCACAAUGUAAGGGUUAAGAAGAAGAUGACUGAGGAAGACUUUAUUAGGAACAAUCGCCGUAUAAAUGGAGGAAACGAUCUGCCAAGAGAAUUCUUGUCAGAGCUUUAUUAUUCUAUUUGCCGGAAUGAAAUCAGAACUAUUCCUGAGCAAGGAGCUGGGUGUUCUGAGAUGUCUUUCAGUCGUUGGGUUGAUCUAAUGUGGAGGUCAAAGAGAACAUCAAUGUACAUUGCUUGUGACUCCUACCCUUUCCUUGAUCAUGACAUGUUUUCCGUUAUGGCCGGACCAACAGUUGCUGCUGUUUCUGUGGUUUUUGACAAUGUUGAGCAUGAAGAGGUUCUUACAGGAUGCAUUGAUGGCUUCCUGUCGGUGGCAAAACUGGCUGCAUUCUAUCAUCUUGAUGAUGUUCUCAAUGAUCUUGUUGUGGCACUAUCUAAAUUCACCACUUUGUUGAACACUUCUUACAUUGAUGAUCCUGUAACAGCUUUCGGGGAGGAUACCAAGGCUAGAAUGGCAACAGAAGCUGUUUUCACUAUAGCAACUGCUUAUGGUGAUCAUAUACGCAGCGGAUGGAGGAACAUAAUAGAUUGUAUUUUAAGAUUGCAUAAGAUAGGACUUCUUCCUGGUUGCCUCACUGGCGAUACAACUGAUGAUCAGGAAUCCUCUUCAGAUUCAUUACCCGGCAAACUUGCUUCAUCUGCUCCUCAAGUUUUGCCAAUUAGCACUCCUCGGAAAACUUAUGGACUGAUGGGGAGGUUCAGCCAACUACUGUACUUGGAUGCUGAUGAACCAAGGUCCCAACCAACUGAGGAGCAACUCGCUGCUCAGAGGAAUGCUUCAGAGACUGUAAAGAAGUGCCAAAUAGGUACCAUCUUCACUGAGAGCAAAUUCUUGCAAGCUGAUUCACUCUCAAAUCUGGCAAGAGCCCUCAUUCAGGCAGCAGGCAGACCUCAGAAAAUCACCAGCUCACUUGAUGACGAAGGCAUAUCUGUCUUUUGCUUAGAGCUUCUAAUUACUGUCACAUUAAACAACAGAGACAGGAUUGUUCUUUUGUGGCAGGAUGUUUUUGAGCACAUAACCCAUAUUGUCCAGUCCACGGUGAUGCCCUGCAACCUGGUGGAGAAGGCUGUUUUUGGGCUCCUGCACAUCUGUCAGAGGUUGCUUCCCUAUAAGGCGAACUUGGUAGAUGAUUUGCUGAGGUCAUUGCAGCUGAUUCUGAAACUUGAUGCCCGUGUAGCUGAUGCUUACUGUGAGAACAUUACCUUGGAGGUCACACGGCUUGUCAAGGCCAAUGCGACCCAUAUCAAAUCCCAGAUGGGCUGGCGGACUAUCAUUUCCUUGCUCUGCAUCACGGCACGCCAUCCUGAUGCUUCUGAUGCAGGAUUUGAAGCCCUGGUUUUUAUCAUGUCAGAAGGAGCACACCUCUCACCUGCUAACUUCAUCCUUUCAGUGGAGGCAUCAAGGCAGUUUGCAGAAUCUCGGCUUGGGUCUGCAGAAAGAUCUAUCCAUGCUUUGAACCUAAUGGCAGACUCAGUUAACAGCCUUAUUCGAUGGUCACGAGAGGUUAGAGAAGCUGGUGGAGAGGCAGACAGAAUAUUGGAAGGAAUUGCUGAGAUGUGGCUGCGGCUAGUGCAGGCUCUACGCAAGGUGUGCAUGGAUCAAAGAGAAGAAGUGAGGAACCAUGCGUUGUUAUCGUUGCACAGAUGCUUGGUAGUUGAUGGAAUAUCAGUUAAGUCUUCAACAUGGUUGAUGGCAUUUGACAUUAUUUUCCAGUUGCUUGACGAACUGUUGGAGAUUGCUCAGAGCUACUCACCAAAGGAUUUCAGAAACAUGGAGGUGUCUCUCUUGCAUGCUGUAAAACUGUUAUGCAAGGUGUUCUUGCAGUCACUUAAAGACCUAUCAGGGCAGGGCAGUUUUGAUAAGCUGUGGUUGGAGGUCCUUGACAUGAUAGAGAAGUUCAUGAAAGUCAAAGUGAGGGGGAGGAGGACAGAGAAGCUACAAGAGGCUAUCCCAGAGUUAGUCAAGAACAUACUGAUGGUGAUGAAAGCAAGUGGGAUCCUGUCAAAAACAGGUGCCAGUGAAAACAGUAUCUGGGAAGCAACAUGGCUUCAAGUUAACAAGAUUGCGCCCUCUCUACAAUCAGAAAUUUUUCCUGACAAUGAGGAUGGCAGCACAACUCAAGUUGAAGAAAACAAAUUGGAUACACAAGCGCAAUCUGACAAGAACAAUGAUCAAUAGGACAUUAUACUUUCUUCCAUCCAAUCAAGUUAGUUGCAGCUGGAUUCUUUCAACUUUUUGUUCCAAAACCAUACACAGAUGCGUGGCAGUUCUGUAUGUGCCAUUAGGAAGAGUAAGAUGGUAUAUUGUAAUUUUCUUACUUUAUAUAUAUAAUUUUGUUAUUGACAAGGUUGUUACUUUGGGCUUUAUUGUUGCAACAGCAAAGUUGUAUGAUAAAUAUAGUGUGCUACCGGCCUUGGGGAAUCAAAGCUUUUGGCUGUUUAUUGUUAUGAUCCCAGCACCUGUGUACGGUACUACUGGGGGAAAUUGCUUAAAGCAGUAGGUGCGACCGUGUUAAGGUUUUCCCUUGCCAUUAUCUGGUGUCACAAGGCGUCCAAUACGAAUGUGCUCUUCAGUUACUUCAUAUAUAUGGGUGAUAUGCUGGAUUGCUGGUACAUAUAAAUUUAUCAUUCACCUGUGAAUGUGAAAGAGCUCAAUAAAGAUGCCCUUAUUUUCCUUUGUUUAUUAGAGGCCAGGCAGGAAGGACAAGCAGCUGAGAGCAUGCAUCUUCGUCGCUCCUGCUGCAUCUUUGGUUCUUUUGCUUUAUGUGCCUCCUGCAUUCAUAGGCUCAAAUGAACAUGCGGCGCUGUAGUCAAAAUUUGCAAACACAUUUUUCUUACUGAAAUGCUACUUGUUUUCAGAUUAAAAUAUCAGAGUGGCAAGUUCUGAACAAAUCAGAUUUGGUUUGCAAACUGAAGGAAAUCGCAUACCCUUUCAGCUUCAGUUUGCAGAAUUGGAAGGGUCCAUUUAUUCUGUGGGAAGUCUUGUAGAUAGGAAUGCUAAUAUUCAUCCAUUAGUAAAUAAUCUAGAAGUAUAUUGUUUUUCGUUCCUCAUGGCCGUGUAAAUUAAAGCUUGUUUAUGCUCUUUGGAAUAUUAGAAUUGUAGCAUGACCGCAGAACGCAGAACUUGAAAAAUGAAAUGUGCAUGAUCUCAUUGCAAUUGCUGCAUUAAUGGAUGCAGUUGCUUUCCACUCCUAUAGCAGGCAGCCUGUUUUUUUUCUCAACUCUAGCGUAUAACUCCUUGCUUUUCUUGACGGCACAUGCUCUUGCUUGUGUAAUCCAAUUACUUCCAUGAGUCCCGUGAAGCCAUUGACAGUGUAUGCCUGUAUGAGCCUAAUACCUCUGUUCUCAUUAGUCAUUACUAAAACAAGCUGGGCUGCAGCAAAGCCAGUUGCUGAAAAACCAUAGAUGUGUGGUAAUAAGCUUAUUGGCUGCUAUUCCACGAUUCAGAUGAUUUGACCUUGUAACAAAACCAUGUGACCAUAGAUGUGAGGUUUGUGCAAUCACCAGUUUAUGGAGGUGAUCAUUAGAUUGACUUUUCGUGCUCUUGCAAACCACCCCACCUUUACGUUGACUAGUGCGCGCGCGUGCGGCCGACCUCAUUUUGCCCUCCUCUCCUCCCCGGCCCUCCCGCAGCGUCUCGCGAUCGUGGGCGGCCGGGUAACCUGCGGUGGCUUGCGCAGGCACGCACACAGCAGCACGGGCCGCACACGCUAGCCCCGCCGCGUACGCUACACGUGAGCGGCUACUGACAACGGCGUCCUCCUCCGCUCCGCAACCGCACUUGCUGCACUCCGGUGCCAUGCAUAAACAGACUACUGACGUAGGCCUUGUUUAGAUCCGAAAUUUUGUUUGGAUUUCAACACGGUAGUAAUUUCGUUUUUAUUUGACAAACAUUAUUCAAUUAUAGAAUAACUCGGUUUAAAAGAUUUAUCUUACGAUUUACAGCAAACUGUGCAAUUAGUUUUUGUUUAUAUUUAAUGCUCCAUGUUUGUGCUGCAAGAUUCGAUGUGACGGAAAAUCUUUAAAAAUUUUUGGUUUUUGGUGUGAACUAAACAAGGCCGCGUUCAGUUAGCUAGAAAUAAACCUGGAAUGCGCCUAGGAACCAUUCCAGCUUGAUCAAAGUUAUACAAAUUAAAUUAGUUGAGGGCUUGUUCGAACGGUUACUACGGAAUGGUUCCUAGAACGAUUUCUACAUGAAUUUCUUAGCUAAUUUAUAUAACCUUUGAUCAUUUGUGAGUGUAUUCAUGAAGAACCGAAUAAGCCUUGAACCGUUCCGCUACAAAUCGUCCCAGAUAACCGAACAAGGCCAAUUCUUGUGUGGUGUAAUAUUGUGUAAGGAGAGUAUUGUACAACGCACAAUCUUUCAUCCUUACGAAACAUAGUAGAUAUAUACACAUCUAAUGUGGUCAGUCCUACUAGAAUUUGAAAUGCCUCUUUAGAAAGUCUCGACCAAGUUGAUUUGAUACAAGUCUUAUCUCCUCUCGUGAUAAAGUAGUCCACCGAUCAUAGCUCAUGCGUAGGAUAUCAGGGUUCGUCGUGACUGCUGUAAGUCGUAGGCAGAGCAUUAGACGUUCUUAAUACCCAGGCCUUGUUUAGUUCCAAAAUUUUUUGGGAAAUCGACAAUGUAGCAUUUUCGUUUGUUUGUGGUAAAUAUUGUCCAAUCAUGAACUAACUAGGCCUAAAAGAUUCGUCUCAUCAAUUCCGACUAAACUGUGCAAUUAGUUUUUAUUUUCGUCUAUAUUUAAUACUUCAUGCAUGCGUCUAAAGAUUCGAUGUGACGGGGAAUCUGAAAAAUUUUGCAAAAUUUUUUAGGAACUAAAUAAGCACAACUAGAUUUUUCAAUUUCUCCUAGUAAUGUGGGGUUCUCCUAGUGUUUUAGCAUUUAGAAUUUAGUAUAAACUUUCCCUAGUAAAUGCCUCCUAGUGAGGAUUUCCUAGUGUUUGACUAAUGGUAAUGUUUUGUUACUAACUAAAAACACUAGGAGAACUCCAUCAUUUUAGUAGUGAAGGCCCCACUAGCAUAAAGAAUUCAGGGGUCAGAUGUACGAGACGUCGAUGAGAAGCCUUGACGCGCCGUACGUACGUUCUGUUUUCGCAGCGCGCGGAUCGUCAGUAUAGUUCACACUUCUUCUGCAUGUUCGUUGCACGCAGCUACCAUAACAUGUGUAGCACAAUCGUAAAGGAACAGUAAUACGUCUGUGAUGAUUGAUUUCCAUGAUCUAAAGAUUAAUAACGUCUAGAGCGUUUAAUCGGUCCGCCGGCCGUCCAGUUUUUAAAUUGCUUGUGCCCGCUACCUCCUUUUUUGUUAGUAAAAUGAACGGGAUGUCUAUGUCUCAAAAGUGAAAGGGUCAGGUGAAUUGGAGUUAACACUAAUCGAGGUUGAGCAUCUUUAAGGGUUUUACAUUUGGACUUUACAUUCUUGUAAUUUGCCAAAAAUCGUAAAAAGAGGUAUCCAAUGGUUUUGCAUUUAGAGUUUAGAUUUAGGCAACUUGGCAAAUGAGAGAGCAAAUUUGGCAUAUAUGCCAAGCCGCACACGGCUUGGCAAAAGGCCGAUCACGCGCGUCUCCUAGUCCCUCGCGCGACCCAGACUUUCUUCGCGCCAUAUAUCGCGAUCGCGAGCAACACCGUCGCCGCCAUCCGCUGCAGAACUCGUGAGGGACUCCAUGGCGACACAAAACCGCCGCCUCACGCCAUGAGUUCAAGGACGCCACGAGUCUGAUACGAGUCAUCGCGGCGGCACCUGCAACGAGCGGUGGGGAGUAGGAAGAACUGGCGGCGCGACCUGUAAGGAAAACGCGAGAACCGGCGGUGACUUUACGCGUGCGAAGGAAAGUCGCGCGGGAAGACGAUCGCGAGCACGCGCGAAGGAAAAAAAUUGCGGACGUGUCCACUUUGGCUAAUUGCCAACUCAAUUAUGCAAAACCCUUAGAGAUUGCCUAUUUUUAGACUUUGUAUUUUGUUUUGGGAGUUUGCAAACAACAACAAAUGACAACUCAAUUAUGCAAAAACCCUUGGAGAUGUUCUAAGGGUCUAAGAUAAAUCUAGUCAAUGCUAUCGAAAAUGUGUAGAUAAGUUUAUCUAGUGUUUUUUAAAAGGACAACAAAAGUUUUUCCAUGAUUUUUGUUAGACGAAGAAACAAAAAAGACAAGUGUCAGCCUAGUUUUAUAAAUGAAAACUAAGCUACAAAAACUAUACAACUCUGGAGAGUGCUCCACUCAUCCUGCACAAUUUUGAUACAACUGUCAUAACUCAAACCACCACUUACAACUUGGUUGAAUCGACCCACUAACAAGAACUACCCAACUAAAAACAAAUAGGUCGGAGAAAAAGAACCAACUAAGACACUCCAACUAGAAAAGACAACUUGAAGAACCGAGCACUAUCACUCUUUGAGCAUCGAUCAGUAGAAGAGGUAGAAAAAGGGUGCCUUCAAGGAGGGCACAACAUCCAUAGACGUCGUCGUCCAAGCUUUCUCCCUAACCUUAUGCUACGUCCACAUCCGUCGCUAUCAAAGACCCACAGAGGAAGCCUGACCUAAGGAAACCAACCCAAGCAAGGGGGAGACAGGUGGCAGGGAGCCAGGGAGAAGAGGGCUGGGAUCAGAAGAUGCCCCCAGUCGCCUAGUCCACCACCAUUUCGAGCAAUCCCAGCAUCAAUCCCCGCCAUGUAGAGCCUCUAGCAACCCUCAUUACGAAUUUCCGUCAUCAGCACACAGGAUCUAGUAGGGGAACGUCGGUUUUGACCAAAGAGUCCAAGGGCGACCGACACCGCUGCAUCCAUUCUUGGCCCCACUAGGCCCGAAAGGCGCCGUGGACUAGGUUGCCACCCUGAUGCCAAUGAAGGCCGAAGAGCUCCACCCCUAACCUCUGACACAGAACGCGCGGAGGGGACGGAUUCGUGUGGGGGAUGUUGGAUCUACCUGCCCUCAAACCGGGUGCCAUCCAACCAGGAGAACCACACAAAGCACGUUGCAGGGGAUGCCCACUGCCGAAACCAGCCAGCGAGCAAGUCGAACAGGCCAACGGCGAGGGAAAAAGAAGAAGAUGGGGAGGAGAAGGGACCAGGGUGUUUCACCCACCUAUAAACAAGCAAUAUAUGUCUUUCUUCUAAAGAGGAUACAUUAAAUACAUAAUCCACUAAAUUAGAUCCUUAUUAGCAGUGCCAACUAGGUAGCAUAUGUAAAUAGAUCCUGGUUGUUCAUUCCUUUGGUAACCAAUGUGAUUCUUUGCUAAAGAGAAAUGAUCACUAUAUGUCCGAAUCGUCGUCUCGGCACAACACCUAAAAAUACCACAUCAGUGGCUCUAGUUAACUUAGACCAUCUCCAAGGAUUUUCAAAACCCACUCCGAAUCUUGUUCUUUUUUUUUGGUAAGAUUGAAUCCACACUCGAACAACUCCCAUAUAUCAACUCCCGACCUUUGACACUUGGGAAAAUUGAAUCAAUUAUGUAGAAAUAUAGGCUUUUAUCAAUCGGACAAUCCGAAGGUGGAAGGACAUGAGAAAAAUAAUAGUAAGGACAUGGUCCCUAAUAUAACUGUACACAAGAUUGAGAAAAAAAUAUAAAAGAUGUUGAGAUGAUUUCAAAAUAAUCUAGGAUAACUGAUGGAAAAUGAGUCAGAUGACGAAAGUGAUUGGAAGAACCUACAAUUGUGCUCCCACCUUUUUUAGCCACUUGGAAAUCUCAUUGAUUUAAGAAGUGAUUUUUUUUAGAAACAGUUGGAGAUGACCUUAGUUAGAAGCCUAAAUUCGAGCAUGUUGCAGUUAUUCAGCUAAAUCUGAGCAUGCCACACGGCAAUCGUGGUAGAUUAAAAUGCGAUCGGAGUUUUAAAGAUUAAGAAAAAAAAAUUCUGGCCUCGGCACCGUAGAACGAAACCCCAAGAUUCUAAGUUUACCAAUCAUCGGCAGGGCUUCCAUAUGGCACGAACUGCAAUAUUACAUAAGAUCGCAUUCUGCAACUGCCGGCUGCAGGGUCGCCAGCCGCCUACUCCAUUUCGCCUGGUGGCCAUGUGACCUUGCACCUCUAACACGGCAAGCCCGUCGUACGCGACGAGCCCAACGGCGACCCUUGAUGCCAAUUCGAUCAACCCGGCCGGCUUUCGCCUGCCUAUAAAACGCACCAGCAGUGUCGUCCACCGAUCGACCAAGAAAAACACCGACCGAACAUCCAAGUACAAGUACACCACUCGCUACUCUUGAAAAUUGUAGGUGAUCGACUAUAGCUGGUUCGAUCGAUCGAGCUGAGACGACGAUGGCCGCCGCCGUGAUCUCCAUCUCCUCAAAGGUGGCUGCACUCGCUGCACUGUUCGUGGUGCUCGCCAUGUCCGCCGAGGCGGCGAGCCCCAACGGCGGCUGGCUGGCAGCCAAGGCCACAUGGUACGGCGCGCCCAACGGCGCAGGCCCUGACGACAACGGUACGUGCCUGCGUCCCACGCACACGGUGGGUGUUACAGUACUACCAAUGCCCGUGUGCAUGUCUGACGUUGUUGUGUCUGCAGGUGGCGCGUGUGGGUUCAAGAACACCAACCAGUACCCGUACAUGUCCAUGACGUCGUGCGGCAACGAGCCGCUGUUCAAGGACGGCAAGGGCUGCGGCGCAUGCUACCAGGUAGUAGAGUCUACUCUUCUACAAAUAAAUUAGUUAACCUAGACAUAGUUAACUUGCAGUCCCUGGUCAGUUAAUUUGAUCAUCGCGGUCAACCGUAGCAGUAACCCCUUUAAUAUUCUCGUACCAAUUGAAAAUCCAUCAGAUACGGUGCCUGAAUAGCACCCACGACGCUUGCUCCGGCAGAGCGAAGCGUGUGAUCAUCACGGACAUGAACUACUACCCGGUGUCCAAGUACCACUUCGACCUGAGCGGCACGGCGUUCGGCGCCAUGGCCAAGACCGGGCUGAACGACAAGCUCCGGCACGCGGGCAUCAUCGACAUCCAGUUCAGGCGGGUGCCCUGCAACUACAAGGGCCUGAGCGUCAACUUCCGCGUCCAGGUGGGUUCCAACCCCAACUACUUCGCGGUGCUGGUGCAGUACGCGGGCAAGGACGGCGCCGUGGUGCAGCUGGACCUGAUGGAGACCAGCAAGGCCACCGGCAAGCCGACGGGGGUGUGGACGCCGAUGCGCGUGUCGUGGGGCGCCGUCUGGCGCCUCGACACCAAGCGGCCCCUGCAGCCGCCCUUCUCGCUGCGCGUUCGGAACGGCUCCGGCAAGACGCUGGUGGCCAGCAACGUCAUCCCGGCCAACUGGAAGCCGAUGACCGACUACCCCUCCAACGUCCAGUUCCCUAAUUAGCCGCACGCGCUGCAAUCGCCCAGAUCAUUGUUAUUCGAUCGUCCCAUUAUUAGUUAUAUUGCUUAAUCAUGUGUUGUCGUUCGUUCCAUUAUUUAUGUAUAUGUAAAAAAUGUGUGGUCGUUGUACGUACUACGUGUCUUGAGAUGCGUGGGAUAAUGGAGGAGGCAAUGUGAUCUCCCGCCCACGAUCGCAACAUUUGAAAUAAUAACAUGAUGUUUAUUUACGAGCUACUGAAACUUCGCGCAACAGUGUGUGCACGCACGGCGGAACAGGCUGCUUGUGCAGCAGCUAGCGGAGGCACGCAGCGUACGCUUCACGUGAGCAAUGCCACGGCUCAGGGCUACGGCCGGCCGCAUCCUCUGAUUGCGAUGUUACCUCGCGUUUCACGCAUAGCAUCACAUCUAUAGAGUAAGAUCUUUUGAAACGAAGGGAAAAAAAGAUGAAUUCUACAAGAAAAAAUUUCUAGGAAAGAACUCUAAGAAAAAAUUCUAGGAAUAAAGAAUUAGGUUGCUACAAAUCCUAUGAAAUUCCUAUGGAAUGACUUGUUUCAUAGGAAUUCUGGACAAAUUCUAUUAAUAGGUUGAAAUUGAAGGACGUUUUCUCUCAUCAAAUUAAUUACUUUGUCUUUUACUGCGCUCAAUCCAAACGUUUGAUUGUGUGAGGCCUGUACCAGAGUCAACUUCAUGGUAGCGUAGGCGUUUGGAGGUUGCUUCUGCUUAUAUUGGCACGGGUUUAUUUAAUUGUUUUCAUACAUAACUUCACAGUCAAAUUCAAUAUUUUUUGGUAGGAUUCGUGUCAGCAUGUGUCUCAUUCCAAACACAAGAAUGUAAGUGUAUUUUGUGCUUGGCUGGUUUUAAAAAAUGUGUUGUACAUAAAAAAAUGAUUUAGCUUACUACCCGAGGAAUUCACAAAGGUUUUGAAACAAGGGAGGUUGUUAUCAUGGGUUAAGGCUCUUUUCUAAGCUAAUAAAAUGUUGGCUUUAGCAUAAGAUUUUGGACACUGCUGUAGCAUCAUGAUGAGACAAAGGAGUAUUUCCAGUUAAUUAGCAAGCACAAAACUAGAGACCAUGUUGGAGCCGUUUUCUUUCCAUGGAUGAAAAAUUAAUGGGUAUUUUUUGCAUUUCUUAUUUCCUGAUUCAUCAAUGAAACUAUGUAACAAUGUAAAUGCUGUGUGCGAAGACACAAAAACGGGAAGUCACUUCUAUUUUAUAAAAAAAAGAUCCUCUUUCGCAUGUUUUAAACUUUGUUCAUUUAAUGUCCACCAACUUCUUGCAAAGCUCACACAGGGCAAGGCAAAAGCACGACAUGAUAUUGCUCAAAAAAAGCAGGACAUGAUAAAAAAGAAGGAUACUGAAACGUGCUCACAAAGCAUCCUUGAAAGAUAAGAUGUGGUUCUUCUGUAUGAUGCACAAGAUUUGUUGAAGUAUACCACAAGCCUUGAUUUAUCUUCGAUUAUGAAUUCAUUUCAAAAACAUACCCUCUUGAAUUUUGAAAGUUUUGUGCAAGGGCUAGUCCAUAUAUACAACCAAUGUCUAUAAAAGUAUUUGCAGUUCAAUAAUCAAACUAAGAACCAUGUCCAAAUUGAUUAAGAAAGACUAUUUAACCUAAGCACCAUGUUUAAUUUAAAACCUAUGGAAGUGCGAACAACACACUACAAACCAAAGCAUACUAUGGAAAAAUGAGGCAUGAUAGUAUACACUCCCUCGAGAUGAGAACAUGAAUGGUCAACCAAAUGAUCAUUGUUUUUUCCUUUUUAGUUUUUAUGCAAAACAAUGUAAAUGAGGUGGAUGAAAUUCAAUUUAAACGAGGGAUAUGCAUGAAUCUCUAGCUUUGCCUUUUGUUGACCUGGCACUAAUGAGUGGGGUCUCCCUCUUCUGCAUGGUGGUCCUUGAGGUGCUUGGGAGCGUCGAGUGUGGGUAUGAAGUUUGGUGUGCAUUUGAUCAUCGACAUGGAAAUGGCGGACCCAUGGAUUCAUGCAUGCAUCCAUCUGGACUAUUUUUUUUGAACAAAACAGGGGGGGGGAGAGAUUCCCCACCUAUAUUCAUAUCAGGCUCCAAUCGGAGCAGCAGUGGCAGCAGAAUUACAGGAUGUGAGGUAGCAGUGCCAAACAUUUAGAUUAGCUAUAGCUUGAUCACCUCUAAGACGAUUACACCAUAUUACAAGAUCAUCACAAACUUUGGAGACAAUAGAUCUACCAGUAGGAUUUUCAUUCCUAAAGACUGCAUCGUUUGUUGCAUCCCAGAGCCUCCAGAGAAUGGUCUGUAGAAUGAAGGGCCAAAGCUUGAUGUAUAAACCAGCAGGGGGGGUGAAUUCCCAAGUCUCUGCGUCUGGGAGGGAGGCAACAUCAACGAGGUGAAGCAUGCCCCAGACCUCGGCGCUUACAGGGCAGGUGAAGAAGACGUGGUGUCUGUCCUCAACACUUCUGGAGCACCGCACACAUUCUUCAUCAGCCAGGAUAUGUUUAGCAAAGAGGUUGGCCCGUGUGCUCAGUCUAUCUUUGUAGUAGAGCCAGGAGAAAAUUUUAACUUUGUUCGGCAUGCGCGUGCUCCAGAUGCGAUGGCCAUGGGCAUCCUGUGCAUCCCCCCUAGUGUCUAGGGCGACAUAGGCAGCUCUAGCGGUGUAUCUCUUCCCAUUGAGCUUCAUGAGUCUAAUAUCUGAGGCGUCAUCCAGUGUCAAUCCCUAUAGGCAAAGAAGGAGGGCGGCAAGCUAGGAGCUCGCAGCGUUAGUAAGCCUAGGUCGUAAGCACAAGUCAAAACCCGUUUGGAAAAUGUUUCGAACUGAGAUGUGAGGCCGGGUAGUAUGAGAGAAGAGUGCAGCAUGGGAUAGGUAUAGGGGGCCAUCCAACAGCUAAUGAUCAUACCAGAACGAGGUGGAGGCACCGUUGUGAAUAGGAACAUAAGUGAGGAAGCGAUAUGUGGAGAGUUCAUCAUUAACAAUCUUCUAGAGAUACCCGUCGGCCCCAGCUGCGGAGGUAUCUAAGGACUCAGCCUCAUGAAGGAUCCAAUUUUUCCACGAAGCAUCCUCACUGGAAAACAACUUGUCAAUGAAUUUCAUGAGCAGGCAAUGAUUUUGGAGCUCAAGGUCCUUCACGCCAAUCCCCCAUGGGUUUUGCUAGCACAGAUGUUAUCCCAGGCAACCAAGCAUUUAGAACCAUGGCAGGUAUCUUCACGAGUCUAGAAGAAAGCGCGGCGCCGGUGAUCAAUAGCUUUAAUCACAGUUUUAGAGAUAGACAUAGCCGACAUAUAGUGAAGGGGGAUGGAGCUAAGGACAACAGACGAGAGAACAAGCCAGCCAGCUCUAUUGAGGAGAGCAGCACUCCAACCGGAAAGGUGCUUGUCCACCGAAGAGAUGAGAGGCAGACAAUCAGAGACAUUGAGCUUGCUGGGGGAAAGUGGAAGGCCAAGAUAAACCUGUGGGAAGGUGGAGACAGUGGUACCCAAGUUGGCGGCCACAUCAUUAGCCAACUCAUCAGGGACAACAACUGGCAAGAAUAUAGUUUUGUGGUAGUUAAUAGACAGCCCAGUCGCAUCUUCAAAAACCUUCAGAAUUUGUUUUGUCUAUUGAAUAGCAUCCGGAGAGCAUCGAAGGAAGAUAAGUGUGUCAUCGGCGUACUGAAGGACAGGGCAAGGAGCAUUGGGAAUGAGCGGGUGGUGGAGACUGGUAGCAAGGGAGGAGUGAUGGAGGAGACGGUGGAGAACAUCUGCCACAAUAAUGAAGAGAUAAAGGGGACAAAGGGUUCCCCUGACGAAGCCUAUUUUAGCAAUUGAUCCAUCUCCCAGGAACCCCAUUAAGGAGGACUGACGUUUUACCGGCGACAAGUAGAGUGUGGAUCCGGUGACACCAGGUGACAGAGAACCCCCUGGUACGGAGAAUUUGGAUCAUGCUAUCCCAGUUGACACAGUUGAAAGCUUUAUGGAAAUCGAGCUUGAGGAUCAGUGUAGGAGCGUUAUGACGGUAGCAGCAGUGGAGGAGGUCGGCGGCAUAGGCAAAACUAUCAGCGAUGCAGCGCCCGAGGACGAAGCCGGUCUGGUCAUUGCGACCAAGAGAGAAAUCAUAGGCUGGAGCCUGGUGGUGAGAACUUUGGAUAGGCUCUUGACAGUGGUGUUCUGAAGGGCAAUGGGGCGGAUGUCCCCCGGCUCCGGAGGGUUACUUUUUUUGGGAGGAGAACAAGGUAGAAUCUGUUAAUCCGUUCAAGAUCAGCAGUGUGGUCAUGAAAACCCUAAAAGAGAUCAAUCAUGCUGACGGAGGUGAUCGACCAUGUUGCUUUAAAGAAAGAGGGGCCAAAGCCAUCUGGUCCCAGACUAGUAGUAGAACGCAUGGAGAGAACAACUUUUUUGAUCUCAGCGCUAGUGAAGGGGCUAUCAAGUUCAUCGAGGGGGAGAGGCCCAUCCGGAUACAGAGUGCUCAGCUGGAAGAUCCAAUCAGUUUCACAGACACAACCCACAAGAUUAUGGUAGAACGAAUGUAAGAUAUUCGCCUUCUGGCCAUGAUUAUGGUAUUCACGUCCAUCGUGCUCAACAACUUGAAUUCUAUUCAUGCGCCUUCUCUGAUUAGCACAGACGUGGAAAUAGCGGGUGUUUUCAUCACCACAGAUAGCAGCUCUAACUUUACUUUGUUGAUUCCAAAAAGAAAGCUUGGCAUGUGAAACUCUACUCAGGAGGUUUACAAUAAUGCACCUCAGAUUAGCUUCUGCCUGCCGAAGGGCACGGUGUUCUUCAACGAAGUUGAGAAGGUUGAUGACAAUUCGGUAAUCAGUCUCUUGUUGAGAGAUGUGGGGAAAAGAUUUUCGCCAAGCUCCGAUAGUAGAGCGCGUUGCUUUGAGCCUGCUGGCAAGAAGGGCAGCAGGCACUACUACAAAAUUUAUUAACCGUGACCUUUCAAAGUGUCUUUCGGAGGCGGGCAGGGUUUGCAACCGUCUUGGUUAAUGGUAGUCAUUAACCGAGGCGGUUAUUUGUUAUUAACCGAGGCGGGCAUUUUUAACCGCCUUGAAAAAUCAAUUUAUGGAGGCAGGCGCUUUAAAACAACCGCCUCCAAAAAUAUCUUAUUUUCAGAGAUGGUUGUGUAAUGAUCCUGCCUCCAAAAUUUUGUUUUCGGAGGCGGACGUGCUAUAAUGCCCGUCACCUAAAAAGACUGAGGUCCAGUGAGCCCAGUCGAGCCCGAUAACUGUGUACGUAUAUAUACAGAAACUUAGGGUUUUGGGACUGUCCUCCUCCCUCUCCCUCACACUUCCUACCCAUUCUCCAUCUCUCUCACCCACUCCCACUCAGAUUCAGCCGAGGCAAGGGCCUAGGCGCAAGCGGCACGAGGCUCCUGUGGUGGCAUGGGGUGAGCUGCGCGAGGAGCCCAUGACGGCACAAGGCGUCCGCGGUGGCGCGAGGCGAGCCAUGCGAUGCGAGCGGCCGCGCGAUGUGAGCCGUGCGAGGCGCUAGCGGUGGUGUGAGGCGAGCCGCGAGAGGAGAGCCCAUAUCCACGUGCUUGCCUUCACCUGCUUCCUCUUCUCCAGCCUCAUCGCGCUCUGCCUCAAGCAGCUCGUCCGCACAUACCCGCCCCACCGCCGCGCCCUCCAACUCCGACGCGGGUCCCUCUGGUGGCGGUGCCCCUCCCUCUAGAUCUCGCACGGCGCGGCGUGGACAGCAUGGUUCUGGUGGCCGGGGGGCAGAUCCAUGCGGGGGCGACGCGGUCGCCUCCUCUUCCUCCGGCGUGGCGGCGUGCACGAGAGCCCAGACGAGCUGCGGCGGCGGUGGGUUGUGGAUGGGCUUAGCGGGCCCAUGGAUGGGUUUGCUGGGCUUGUCCAUGGGUUUUGUUUUUUUUUGUUUUUUAUAUCGAUUAACAGUGGCGAGCAGGUAACCACCUUGGAAAAGGUCUUAUUUACUAUGACCUUUAGUUCGAGGCGGUUGGUCUGCCCGCCUUGGUUAAGCACUUUUGCCUGUUUUGGUUAAAAAAUAUUGUAGUAGUGAGCGUUAUUGUUCUCGGUCCGACAACACCAGGCAGUGGUCACGACAUCAUGAAAACCUGGGGAAUGGAUCCAAAAGUUUUCAAUGCGGAAGACCGUGGAUUUAGGAAUGGUAGUGGAGAUUUCAACUUUGAGGGGAACAUGAUCAGAGGUGCUUCUGGUAAGGGAUGAGAGGACUGUGUUGGGAAGGCGCUCGUCCCAGCAAAGGUUAACAAAGGCUAUAUCCAACCUCUCUAGCAUCGGGUUAGCCCUCCUAUUGGACCAGGUGAAGUUCCUGUCCAGAAGUGGUAGUUCAAUGAGGCACAUAUCAUUGAUGCAGUCGUUGAAGGACUUAGCUUCAGAGAAGUGGAAAUUGUUCUUGUUCUUUUCAUGAGCAUAGCGAAUCAUAUUAAAAUCACCACAUAGCAUCCAAGGAGUGCCAUCAGGAGGAGUGAUCAUUCUAAGUUCAUCCAAAAACUCAGGUCUACAUUCCGGGGUGGAGGGUGCAUACACGUUGGUGAUAAGGAAGGAUAGGUUAGUUGCAGUGGAUGACAAAAAACAGACACCGUAUGAGCAGUGGUGGAGGUGGUCAUCGCGGUGAAAAGGGAUUUAGGCCAAGCAGUGAGGAUUCCACCGGCGGCGCCAUCAGUGGGGGAGGAGAAGAAACUGUUGAGAUGGCGUGGGAGGAAGCUAGAGAGCUUAGUGGGAGUAAUGUUGGAUAGCUUUGUUUCUUGGAGGAGAACAAUAUCGGGUUUCGAGGAUAGAAGCUCCAUAAGCACAUCACCACAUUUACCAGAGUCACCUAAACCUCUCACAUUCCUACAACAAACAGUAAAAGUUCUAUUCAUGGGAAAAACUGAUACAAUGUCUUCUUCAGGUAGAGACCACGAACUACUAGCCUGGACUUUACAUUAUUCCUCAGGUUGAGGUAACCUGGGCUUCCGUCAGCUAGACUGGGAUUACAACAAGACGCUGUAGCAGGAAGGACAACUUGAACCAAAGAGAAAAACAGACCAAACAGACAUGGCAGGUGGACCCUUCGCCUAUGAGAAACAAAAUUGGAGGCCACGGGCCUCGCAGCUAGGCGAUGUACAUCAAAGGAACAGGCGGUGGGUUGCACAGGCACUGUGAUCUUGGGGGUUGUCAUCAUUCCUUCACGGCAGGCGACUCCGCCUCACCAGAGAUGGUCGCGAGCUCCUCAGUGGAGGCCCCGCAAGCAUCGGCGAUCUCGUACAGGGACUCGUUAUCACCUCAGGGAUAAAAAGGAUCAGAUAGGAGAUAAGAUCUAGAGAUAGCAGUGCGAAUUCGGUGAGACGCACCCGUGAAGUCAAACUUAGCCUGCUGGACCCGAGUGGCCUUGUCCUCCGGGAGCUCGAAGCAGGGGUCGUCCUUGGCCAAGAGCCUGGAGCUCCUGCGCAGCUUGCGGGCAGUGUCCUUGGCCCGCUUGCGUCUAGCACUCCUCUUCUAGGCGCGGCUCUCGUGUUCCUCCUCCGUGUGCCCACCAGCAGAGAAAGUGGUGGGGGCACAUCCAGGCUCAAGUGAGACAAGGCAGCAGCAGCUUCUUCUUCAUCAACAGUUGGAGCAGGGACGUGCUCCUCACCUGCGGUGUAGUCAUGAUCUGGAACACCACCAACACCAUACCAUGGCAGAGCGAGCAUAGGAUGGUUGUGCUGGGUAGUAGGGUUGGAGUUAGUAUUGGCGGCUGCAGGGUGGGGGGUGGGACGUCUGGUGGUGACUGGGUGAAGUCGUGGAGUGGUGGUGGGGAGUUCCCACUCGAGGAUAGUGGCAGCGAGGUUAUGCGGUGCAGCAGGCAUCUGAGUAGGUGCAUUGCCAAUGGGGUGGUAAUCUGGUGGGGUGUGGAUAGUGGGGUGGGGACCGAAAGUGUGGUCGGUGAAAUCUGGCAAGGGUGGAGCAUCGACCCAGGUAAAAAUGAUGUGGAUCUUAGCAAUGGCAGCAGGCCCGCUAUGGUUGCGCACUAGGAGCUGUUCAGGAACUUCAUGAUCAUGGUCAAGGCGAACCACAACACGCAUGGAAGUGAAAUCAACAUCAUGAAGGCAAUCGGGGUCAAUACAACAAACAUUACCGAUUGCGCUCAGAGCCUCCCUGGCUAGAGACUCGGUCCAGUGCUCGAGGGGGAAGUCGACUGCGGCUAUCUCGGCAUAGACGCUGUAGAAGGCGUAGAAGCGGUUGUCAGCUUCCUCGUGCCACUCCACCGUGAUGGUGUUGCCCUCAAAGGUGAGGGGGACUCGGCCACCACCUGCUCCCUCGCCUCUGGGCUGCCGAACACCAUGAUUCCUAUGCCGUGAGCGGAGGCCGCGAGGUGGAAGGCCGGGGCCCCGCAGACGUUCUGCAUCGCCUGCUUGAUGAAGAGGUGGGGGCUGUGGACCGCCUGUUCGAUGUACACGUAGGCAUACACCCUGGACGCCUCGUACUCGCCAUUGCAGACAUGGGCCUCCACCAUGCCCCUCCGAGCAGGGACCUGGCACGAAGACUCAACCCUAGGAGAUGGGGGUGGGGCAAGCGGCUUAGGGAGAUCGGCUUGGUCAUAGGGAGUGAUGGUGGGGUGGAAAGCAUUGGAGUGGAGGAGGGUGGUUGCAUCGGCGAUCAUGGUGGAGGUGGUGGGGGAGCGCAAUGGGGGGGCGAUCUUUGGUAGAGUGGUAAGACUCGGAGGUGGUACUGGAUCCGGCAGACAUAUUGCGAGUGUAAGCGGCUUUGCAGUGAAAACGUUUGUGACCAGACCGAUAGCACCGGGAGCAUUUUAUAGGGUCCCGACACGCAGAGACGAAAUGGUCUGAAGCGAGACAUCUGAAGCAUCUCUUCAACGCAACCUUUUUUUGCCUCUCAGGAAUAGAGUGUUUUGCCGAGACAGGGAUCGUUGAUCAACUUUGGGAGCCGGAGCAUUGUCGACGCCGGCGAGGUGAGUACGUGUCUGCAGGAGUUGGCACUUGGUAGAAGUGUUGAUGUGGUGGAAGCGGGGGUGAUCACCAGCGGUGGUAAAAGGAGGUGAGUAAGCACAUUUGUCACAAUCACUCGCCAGACAAUAGGCCUGCAUAGUAGGAGGAUGUAGCUGGAAAGAGGCAGGAUGAGUGGGGUUACAGUGAGGAGCGACAUUAAGGAGGUUCUCUGGCACAGAAACAGUGACUGAUCUCAUCUCGCCGUGGUCUUCUAGGUCGCCGUUCAGGCGCUCCAACUUGGCCCAAGCAGAGAAAACAUGCUCAUAAGCUCAUCCCACCAGUGAUAAAAUGUACGUUAGUUGUGAUCAAUAGUUCGGAUGGAUUAGUCACUCUAGAAUAUAUGUAUUUGGCCUUUUAUUCCAUAUUAGGAAUGUGGGUUAUGUUUAUAAUUUAUCUUAAAAGUACACUUUGUUGGUGGUAAAUGUGGUGUAUAACGACCGUCAAUAAUAUUGCCUAAUUGCUUUGAUGUGGUUAGGUCGGUUGAGGAUAGGGCGAAACCUUGUACAGUGACACCUAGAGCCAUUGCUAAUUUCUCCUUGGAGGUAUCCAUUGUGUCCUACCUUGCUUGUGUUCUUUGAGUGAAAACCUACCAUUCAUGGGUGUGCGAUUACAGUGCCAUUGGCAUCGUGAUUUUCCUGAAGACGUUAUCGUAAAAAUCUAGCAGUGGACUUAGGACCUCUUUGAUAGCGACAGAACCCUUUUGUGGCCUAUGGGAAGGCGAAACUGCUACCUUGAUGUGUUAUUGAGCUUGACAAUGAUGACUCAAAGCCAUGUUUUUGGUUGUUGGCAAUGGUUGCCUUGGCUAAUCUUGGAGAUAGCUGUUUUUGGGACUUGGUGGCAUCUUGGUUCCCUAUCUAGGCUUUGUUUCAUACCUUAAAACAUGUUUGAGAUCCAUUGAUGUGAAGUUGGACCUGCUGUAUCGCAAGUGGCAAGCAUGGCAACUAUGACACAGACUGUGUCACCUUCUCUGUAUGUUCGUAAUGUUGCAUGACGUAGUUAGUGGUUCCAUGGUUUGUGGACCAAUUUCCCUUAUAAAUUGGGCUAAUUCUCUUCUUCUUUUUAAUAUGUGCUGAAGCAAUAUGUUUUGGAUCUUAAAAAAUGAAGAACAAUGCUCAAUGGAGAUCACAGAAGUUGACACGAUGCAAAAACUUUGCUCUAGUGAUAAACUAGAGCAUUAACUGUAGAGUUUACUGUGGUCCAACAACCAAAGUGUAUUUGAGACCAGAGAAAAAAGGAUCGCAACUUAGAGGAUUUGAAUAUCGUGGGGGAGAAAACAAAUGGAGGCCUUUGAAAAAAGGAUUGGAUCUCUAAAAUUGCUAUAUGAAAAGCCUGUAAGAUGUUUUUUACAUGCACUCAUACCACGUAUUUGUUACUCCUAUGAAUGUAUGCAUGGAUAUUUUAUCCAUAUGAACAUGUCGUCAUGUCCGACAGACUAAACUAGUAGAUCUUAUAUUGACAAAAUGACAAUAAGUAUCUUGUUGUUAAGGGGCCCAUUGUUUAUCACUAAAAGAAUAUCAUUGUUUCUCGCUGAAACAAAUUUAGAGGAAUGCAAGCAACUAUAUCAAAUUGAUCGAGGACUUGUCACUACAAAAUGGCUUAUUGCAAUAAGUCUUCCUCUAUUUGUCAAUAAAAUAAAUUGUGUAGACUACCUCCAAAUUCAUAUACAAUAAUGUAGUUGAACUACACCAACCAUUGCUGUGCUAUUACUAUCGGUUCAUAACACUAACGUACAGUGAUAGACGGGUUAUCACCACCGGUUCCUGAUGGCUUCAACCGACAGUGAGCUAAUGAUAGUCUAUUUUGCAUAAAAAGUAUGACCUUUUUAUAUGAGGUCGGAUCAAGAUAAACUUUAUAUCAAAAUUAUAGAGUUCAAAGAUAUCUAAAACUUUAUAGUUGGCAACUUUUAAAUUUGAGAUGGUUUCCAUGCUUAAAUAUUCAAUAUAAGUUCUCGAACUAGAUUUGCGAGAUGGUUAACAAUGUUGAAAAGACAAAGUUAACAUCAAAGUUGUAAUACUCGAUGAGAUCUAUAACUUUGCAGUUGCCAACUUUUCAUUCAAGAUAAUUUAGAAUAUCAAAUAUAUAAUAUAAAAUUCAAAAUUGUGUAGUUAAAAGAAUAACAUCAGUUAUAUGGUUACAAGUUUUGCGUAGCUUAGAUGAUAUGGAAGCUCGAGAGGAUUCAAUCGUAGUAAUACUUUGCACUUGAAUUCCUAUCACAAUUACGUUUUCUCUUAUUUUUCUAUUUCUACAUUUUUCCACUCCCCUAAGGAUCAGCAUGCAAGGCAAGUAGGCAACAUAUAUCAAAAGUCAGCCCCGAGUUGUGCCUUGCAUGAUCUAAUAAAGCUUCCAUAUUUAUGGACUUUUCCCGCCACGUUGCAGCUGUAGUUUGUUGCAACAACCAUGUAACAUUCUUUUAAAGGGACAAUGAUUCGGCGAGAAUGCAUAUAUAUAAAUGUUAACAGAGUAUUCAUUGUAACGCGAUAUUUGUUUUCCUGAAAUCAAAACAAGUUAACGCCGUUACUAGCUACGUGGUGGCACAUCUUUUAGCUGCACAGCGGAUGUGUGGACACGACGAAAUAACACGGCACCACGUCGGGUGCAAAGCGCCCAAAGACCUGUUGUGUUUUGAAAAUGCUGAAUGUGUGUCGCCCCUUUUUGCCUGUCUAUAUAUGCGACAUGCCGGCCUCGCCCUGCUCCGGCAAAACCCGAACACGACGACCUUGAGCUGAGAUGGCCGUCGCGAUCUCCAUCAAGGUGGCUGCACUCGUCAUCUCCGUGUUCGCCACGCAUGGCGCUCGCGCGCAGCCGAGCUACAACAACGCCUCCUCCUCCUCCGCCCGCAGAGAGUUGUACUACUCCAGCACCACCGGCGGCAGCUGGCUCCCUGCCAAGGCCACCUGGUACGGCCGGCCCAACGGCGCCGGCCCUGACAACAACGGUGUGUGUGCGCCUGGAAUGCUGUCGUGUUUUCCUUGUGUUUUAAUUUAAUCUGUGUCUUUGCUUUCAUGCACGCCUGAAUAUGAUGUCGAUCGUGGUGCUGAUCGAUAUGUUUCUUUUUGCAGGUGGCGGGUGUGGGUACAGCGGCACCAACCUGUACCCUUUCAAUUCCAUGACGUCCUGUGGCGACAGGAACGUGUUCAGGGACGGCAAGGGCUGCGGCUCAUGCUACCAGGUAUACUACUACGUGAAACAUGCAUAUAGCAGUCCUUGUUUGCUUGCGGUCGACUCGAGCGUUGUGUGUGUGUGAGUGGCGAGUGCGCACGUCUCCCUGCCGAUCGUGUUGCGUUCAGCGUUCAGAGAGGCCGGUGAACCGCGACAUGGACAUGUCUUGAUCCUGAUCUGUUUGGUUGGUCUGCUGCUGCUUCUCAGAUAAAAUGCGUGAGCAGCAACAACCCUGCCUGCUCCGGCGUGCCCCAGACGAUUAUCAUCACCGACGUGAACUACGACACCAGCCUCGGCCCCAACCGUUUCGACCUCAGCGGCACGGCGUUCGGCGCCAUGGCUAAGCCUGGCCUCAACGGCAAGCUCCGCAAUGCCGGCGCCCUCAGCAUCCAGUACAGGAGGUCAGUAACAGUUAGUGUAGCAGAAUUUCUGACCUGACGCAUCGAUCGAUCGACCUGAUGACCCACGCCGACGCCGCAGGGUGCCCUGCAACUACAAGGGCUUGAACGUGAGGUUCCACGUGAUGGGAGGCUGCAACCCAUUCUACUUCGCGGUGAUCGUGUACUACGCGGGCAGCGAUGGCGCCGUGGUGCAGGUGGAGCUCAAGGAGGCCAACUCGCGGACAUGGAGGCCGCUGUACGAGUCGUGGGGCGCCGUCUGGAGGAUAGACCCGGGCCACCCGCUGAGGGCGCCCCUCUCGCUGCGCGUCCGCAGCGACGGCGGCAAGACUCUGGUGGCCUACGACGUCAUCCCGAUCAACUGGAGGGGCAAUGCCGAUUACCGUACCAUCGCUCAGUUCCGCUGAGGGGCACACACCGCGACAAUGAACACUCCCCUCGAUCUUAACAGGGUUCAGUACAUUUUUAUCUUCAAUCGCGUGGUUGAAAUUUUAACGUAUGUAUUGCAUCAUCUCAUUUUUACGGUGUUUUUUGAGGUUUCAAAAUCAUUCCUACUUGCGAUUUUGAGAAUUCUAGAUACUUGUUCUUGUGUGUCUUGAGAUGCAUAGUACGUGGAAUAGAUAUACAGUAUACUCGUAUAUAUAUAUAUAUAUAGGAGGCAAAGUGUUAUAUUCAUGUGUUCCACUAUAUAUCACAACUGUUUACAACUACCUUCGUAUUGGCAAAAAGAAAAGAUAUGUGUACCGUGUAGCGCGUGUAACCAAAUCUAGUUGAUAAAUUUUGAUGUGGUGUCAGUGUGUGUAUAUAUGCUCAAUCUUCCUCUCGCAUGUGCGUCGUAUGAGAAGCAAAUCACGUACAGGAGGAUCGGAGUUGCCUCGAUGCUGGCUCUCUCUUUCCAAUCAACCAUGCGCGGUGUACGUGUAUACUCACGUGAUUACAGCCUCAUCGUCAAGGGAUUCACUUCCGAAUCAGGCGUUUUAGGGCCCGUUCGUUUAGACAUUUCAAGCCUGGAACAGCGUGGAACGUUUUCAGUCUAGUAUAAAAUAUUGAAUGGUUUCAUGUUUGGAACGAACGGACUCUUAAUAAGUAUACUCUGGGAUGGAACAAAUUAGAGUACUUUUAUAAGGGUCAUUAUGAUUUUAUUUUAGUGAUCACAUGACAACAUGACCCAUGGAUUAAUAACGUUUAAUUUUCAAGUAUUUGUUCCCUUGUCUAAGACAUGGCUAAAAGUAAUGUUCGCUGAUUUAUUGUGAGAGAAAAACAUUGCUGAAUGACUGACAGAUUCGACAAGCGAAUAGGACUUAGUGUCAUAGAUGUAAGAACUAUCUUUAUAUAUAAAAAGCCUCGAGUGUCCAAGACUAUCCAAAAAGAUGAAGUUGUGCUCGAUCGGUGAUUUUUGCACAGCACUGACAAUGUGGGGCCACCCAUACGACUCCCACCUACACCACCUUUGGUCCUCCCUAUCACUCCCGCACCGAGGCCCUCCUCCGGCAUCAAGCUAUCCGUGAUCAAUGGUCCACUGCCCUAUUGUUGCCGGUUGCUCUAUAGAUGCAGGUUCUGACAAGACCCGAUCAUGUCAGUCUGGUGCUCGGAGCAAAGCUAAAAUAUAGAGCCAUUAAUAUAAAUAUACUAAUAGUGAUGUUUUUAAUAAACACUUAAAUACAUCCAAAAACAUUAUUAUUAUACUAAUUGUAAAUAUUGUCUUAAAGUUUUCUUCUAAUAUUGGGAGAUGUGAAGUUAUUGAUUGGCAUCAAUAUCAAUCUCAUCUUAUAAUUUCUUCUCAAUGCAUAAAGACACCAAACCAUUUAAUCUUUCUGAAUACAUUAUGGACCUCGAAUACUUCAUCAAUAAUUCCAAAUAUUAUUAAUAAGCAAUUUACCAAAAAAAUAUGUUAUGACAUAUUCAAUAUUAAAAUCAAAAGAGAAUAGGUUUAGGUCACGCUACACUAUAUAUAGCUGCACGCCACCUCUGUACGGGAUUUCCAAAUCCCAUAUCAGAAUAGUCUUGAAGUCUUUUUUUUAUGAAAAAAAGAAUUAUAUUAGAAACAGAUUUUCAUUUAAAUUGUGAACAGCUUCAGAUUUUGAAACCAAACUUGUACGACGCAAACAUUCGGCAAAAGGUCUAAGAAUAGAUGCCCAACGAACGACAGUCAACAUUCAUGUAGGCGAAGUUAAGAAACUUCUUCUUUCUGUUGUCUUCCUCCUCCUCCUCCUCCUCCUCCUUCUUCUUCUUCUUCUUCUUUCUAUCACCGAAGAAUGAGGAAUACUAAUGUGAAAUUUAUUCGUCCUAUUCCUUCAUCGGGGCCAGAUUUAACCACCUAAGAUGAAGAUACCGGUCCAUGGUGGUGACACUAUAUCUGCCUUGAUGUCGUCGUCCGAAAAUAAAAGUCUCCAUAUCAUUAUAUCAGUGAGGAUGCUGAUGAUGUAGAUGUCACCCUCAUAUUGAACGGAGACGCCAUGAAGAAAAUGAUUCCACUUUGCCCUCUUGCCAUUGUUAGAGAAGAGGAGGAGAUAAAUCACUAAAAUAAAAAAAAACAUAGCAUGGAGAGACGCUAACCCUAAGAACUCGAUCUACUAGAAAAACUUAUUAAAAAUGAUGGAUCCCCAUAUGCUCCAGCCUCCAGUGAUAUGUCGGAGGGGAAGCGAGGGGACCAGUGAUGGCGACACUUGGAGUCACGAGACGGGAGGGCUAUAGUGUUGCGGCGUUCUACUAAUGGGAUACGAGACAAUAGUCUUGAAGUAUUGCACUCUAAAGAAUAAAGAUUGAGGACAAACAAAAAUCAAAACAUUGAUGAUUAAAUAGAUAUGUCAAUGCUUGACAUAUAUGUGAAUCUAGAACAUAUACAGGGGCUGUCUAGGAGAAACCAUUUUUACCAAAAUGUUAGACCCUUACACACAAUAAUACUUCAGGGAAUCUUAAUGAUAAGCACAACAAAGUAGCGAAGUGGGACUCUAGAUUUGUAAUGACUAUUGUCAGUCUAGGUAACCACAUGUCCCGAAUGUCCAACUGUCUAAGAUAUGUACUCCUUUGUUUGAAAAUAGACAAGAAGCAAGAAACAUCACCCAAGAAGUUCUAGUCAAAGGGCAUGCAUAAUGAUUGAUGCCUUGAUCAUGGUCUUCUAAGAUAUCUCUCUACCAUUAUGAAGCAUGUGUGGACUAAGAUUAGAGAGUUGAAUUACAAAAGGCAAAAACCCAAGGGUGAAAAACAAGCAAAGACUAUCUGUACAUGACAAACAUCAAGGUAGCAUAUUAAAUCCCGUAACCACAUGAUCAAUUUAUAAAAAAAUUAAGAAUAACACAAAUAAAUAACAUAAUAAACCAUCAUUUAUCAUCAUUAAUCAUGUUCAUCAUUGUCCAUCUAUUCCGUCAGUUUUCCGGGCCGCCCGUAUCCGUGGGCACGGCUAGUAUACCAGAUUUAACACUCUGCAGAGGUUGUACAUCUUUACCCAUGAGUCAUGAUUUACCCUUUCGCCCGAGGCCCGUCGACCUCUUAACCCACUACCAAGGAAGGUCGGCAGGGAUCACUAUGAAGUCUUUCAAAGGUUCGUCUAACAAGUUAGAGCCGCUUGGUUUCAUUAGUCAGUCCAUGUGAUUCAACCGCAGGAAUCCACGGUCUGCUAUUCCCCAAUUGCGCCACACGGGUAACCGCUAACGAGCUAGAAAAGUUACUCAUACUUGACUAAAGCCAGAGCCAUAUAGCCCUCAUGGUUGUACGAGUUGUCCCAGCUUUUGCCAAGGGAUAAGUCCUUAUGGAGGGUCAAGAUCAAUCUAGCAAAAGCCAGAGUUCUUUCCACCCUUUAUGUUCAGUUGCUAGAAAGCUUAUUUUAUUGUUUACUGUAUAUCUAAAUAUUCAUGUUACAAGAUCAUGGAUUAUAUUCAAGCACUAGCCAGAACUACCCAAAUGCAUAUCCAAAAUAGGUAACAAGAAAUUCAGGAUAACAAUCAUCUAUGAUUUUGCUAAGGUCAUCAAGGUGGACACAUGCAUAUGAUAUAUGUGGUAUUACUUGUGUAUAGGUAACAAAGAUGAUCCCAAGUUAUACUUUCCUUGAUCAAAGCUCUCCUGAGCCUGCUGGUCUUCAAAAGCUUGAUCUUGCUCACCAAUGUACGAUUCACCGUCUAUUUCCCAAACAUCAAUCAACAACACGCAAUCCAAUGUAGGCAAUCAUACACGAAGCAAACAAGCUAUAAUUAGAACAUUACACCAAACAGUGGUAAAACAAAUAUAAAAGUUUAUCAAAAUAUUCUAAAGUUCACGAAAAUCGGAGUUAAAACGUAGAAGUUAUGAAUUUUCUAAGAUUUCCUAUAGAUAAAUAAUUAAUUAAAUAGUACCACGAAAAUAAAAGGUUUUAAAACACUGAACUAAUACUUCUAACACGUAGAGCUCGUUAAGACGAAUCUAACGAAAUUUGAAUGGACAAAAACGGUGUUAAAAUGAAUAUUUUAUAGCCAAAACAAGUUCAGUGGCAUUUAGUAAUUAUUGAAAACGUAUUUUGAUUUAACCCGGAGCUUUUACGUUUUCAAAAACACAAGGCGUAUUCCUCGAAGAUGUUUUGGACUGCGGUUUCUAUUUGGAAAAACUUCAAGGGCUCUUUAACAAAAUAACCAGGUCGAAAGGGUAUCGGCCUCUGUUGAUAUUUGGGAACGCAAUAAGGAAUUGAUCCGCAAGCGCACGGAUAUCGGUGAGCACUUCACCCGGGAAAUUAUCCAGAGUAUCGUAUUUAUUUUUUUUACCACUAGGAGAAAGAGUGCAUGUGACUAACCGGUCUAUUACUACUAACCUUUAGGCACAAAGAAUGUCUUUCGAUGUGAGUGAUAAAUAGAGAAGACUGCAACCGUAGUCUUCUUCUAACCUUGGUAAGGAUGAUCUACUGUUCUAAUGGGGAGGCUAACGGAAUCUAGACACCACAAAGGAUGUUCAACCCGCACCUAUAAACCCUAUCCUUCCUGCUAACGAGAUGUGAUCUACAAAGGUAGCUCGAAAAUGUCACGUUCCUCACUACUACCACGGUCGAGCUAGUCAGGGAAUAUCUAUGAGUACCCCAGCCUAAACACCACGUUUACGCCAGCAAUGAUUACUCUAAACUCUACGCGAAGAGAUUAAAGUAAACUCAUAAACCAUAAGAACAAUAAAACAAGAACUGUAGAAUUUAGAAGUCGAAUUACUGAAGAAUCCUAGGUGCAAGCUUCGGGUUAGGAGAACUUGAUCCCGCAGGUACAAGCUUGGAGUAGACACUGACAGGCCGGGCUUCCUCCACUCUACACCUCCACUCUAUCUCUCUCAAUCUAGUAGAAACUAGAAGAUCUAUUUCUACCUUACAUUGAUUGCUAAGCCUAAAAAGUAAUAUUAAUUAGAGAAGAGGUUUUCCUUCGAGGGCACCCCUCAGUCUCUAUGAUAAUUUCUUCAUGUCUUCUCCAGGGGCCAGGGGGGCCUUGCUUAUAUAGUCCUCCCCUUCUAUGCGUUUUUGGGUCGAUAGACGAGGUGGUACUAUGUUUUUCUUGAUCCAAUAGGUCGGUGGAAUAUCCCGAACGAAAGAGUCCUGAUUUGGCUCCAGCAGGGGGGUGGGCGCCCAGGCUACCAGGGCGGGCGCCCUGGGCCUGGCCCAGUUUUGCCUCCGCUUCGGUCUCGUGGCUUCUGGAGUCUUCUAGAUGAUGUAAAAUUGCGCGGUGCGUUGAUAUCUCUAUGUAAUCCUGACAUGUGGGUCUUUCUUCCUUAUUUCCUGAUAACCCCCUGCAGAUAUAGAUAAACAACAAAACUCGUGGAAUUCUGUCAGAUCAAACCCUAAUUCUAGGUGAUGGUUGCAUAUUGGUCCUUUCUCUUGUUUAUUUGAUAAUUAAAAUUGAUACUUAAGAACCGUCAACAAAUACCCCCAUACUUAGGCUUUUACUCGUCCUCGAGAAAAGGAUGGUUAAGAUCAAUAUCUGGGGUAAACAUUUAAAACAUUCUUUAUAUUUGUAGGGUGUUAAAAAUCCACUGUGUACCAUAGUCAGGGAUGUAUAUGGUUAAGAGUAAAGAUCCUUUCUUCUCAAUCCUGCCACUUGGAGUUUUUGUAUAUUUUUAAAAGAAAGUUAGCAUACCUUUUUAUCCUCAUAGGUUCUCUCAGAUCACUCAUUAUCUUUUAUAUAUAUCUCACUGAGGUUGUUUUAAUUUGCAAAAAUUCUCAAGCAUACUCACUUUGCAUUUAUUGCCUGAUCAAAACGGGAUCCGAGGAGGGGAAUGUCAUACUCUUAGAUCAAAGACUUUGGAAAUUAAAAACUUUGUCAACUCUUGCUGGCAUAUUGCUUAUUAGAGGGACCAUGGGCUAUCAUUUUUUUCUCUUCUCUUUUUUUAAGUGGAUACCGAGGUACCCCUAAUUCUACUGUCGGACACUUGUCCAUUUUUUUUCUGCGAGGUUGUCGAGCACUUGCUCCUUUUGAUUUCCUCGAAAUAUGUCUAUUUUUGCAUAGCCCAUGCCUCUAAUGCAAUAAUACUUCGGAAGAGUGAAUCUUACUGAAUUAAUGUCUUGAUCUUAGGAGCAUGAUAAAUCUCUCAACAAGGGUCUAACUCAUUUUGAACAAACUCAAUACAGAGUAGAUAGCUUUUUAUAAUCAUAAUAAUAUUUUCAUUUUUAUUAGGCAUAUAAAACACUGAGGAUGGUAGCUAGAAAUUUGAAUAUUUUGAAAUAAAUUCUCCAAGUAAUAAUGAUAUCAAGAAUAAGAAACUCAUACUCUACCAUCACAUAUUCCAUAUUGACUUAAGUAACACAGGGUUUUAAAAUGAUUUUAUACUAAUUGCAAGUUUUCAGGAAAUAUCAUAGAUUGAGAUUAAUCAUGAUUAGAAAUAUUUUAAUCUUUUUAUUUUAUCAUGUCGGAAACAGUAAUCUGCAUAAUCCAAAAUAAAUGUAUGUAUGAAGUAAAGUGUGCAGAGUGUGUACCUGAAUCGUGGAGUGGUGUAGUUGGAGUGUGUUUGGCAUGUUGAGGGAUCUCCCCCAUACUUGUUUUCUGCUUUCUUGCACAAAAGUAAAGUAGAGACACACAAGACAUAAUAAUAAUAGUACUCUUUAUUGAUCUUGAGGCAUUUAUUACAAAAGACUAGUAGCAAACUAAUAGUAAACCUAAACCGAAUUUAAAGAUAAAUGACUAAGAUGUAUUACCUCAAGGUCUAAUCUAGAUAACUUAGCGGCGCUCUAAUUCCUUGAUCUUCUUGUUGGCACUGGCAAGAUCUUGCCUAAGGUCUAGUAUAAUGGUGUUGUGGUUAGAGAGCUGCCUAGUGAGGGAAUUAAUUGAGGACUGGAGGUCUGUGAUAACUCUAUCUAGCCUGCGAACUUCCUCAUCAAUAUCAACUAUAGUCUUGCGACGCUUGGGAGGUGUCUCAAAAGCAUUGAGAGAGUGUUUCGGGGCUGCCUUUGGAGGGAUGAAACGGACUUUGGAUGCUCUAAUCCCUUCAAAGUAAGGCCUUUCCUCCUCCGUAGUGUAGCGAACGCUGCUGAUCUCGCCGCUUCGGUUGGUCUUGACUCCAACGACCCUCUCAUUGGGUCUAGGUGGAAGGAUCCUUGUGCCGAUUGGCACCUUGAUAGUGGUCUUCGUCUUGGAUGAUGGUCCUUUGAGGAGUAGGGGUUGUGGUGGUGCGGUGAGAACUCGUUGAGCAUGGUAAGAUUGGGCGGAGCUGCGUUGGCGUAAUGCCAUGGCUUCUAGCUGACGCUCUAUGUUGGCCGGGACGAGAGCACGAGCAUCGGGGUCUUCCACAGGCUCCAUGUUGAGGUUGAAGGGGACGACCUCCCAAUCAUCGUGGUACUUCUCGGCCAUUGGAGUAGCAAGGAACUAAUAAAAAUUUUAAUUGAAGUAGAGCUAAUUAAGCUCUAAUUGAAGGAGAGAAAGCUUGGUGGCUUGGUGUUUGAAAACUGAGGUCAGGGGUCUGUUUAUAUAGGGGUCAAAAGGAUGCCUCUAUGGGUUGUUCGGGUUGCUCCCGUCGAUGUGCGUGCGAAACUUUCCAUCCGAGGGAUUAUUCGGAUCACCCUAAGUGCAUUUUCCAUAACAGAGAAAGUCGGGACCGAGGGGGAACAAGGGCUGGGCGCCCGCCCACUUGACCUGGGCGCCCGCCCUCUCUCUGGCCCCUCUGUGGGCCCACUUUUCCGAGCGCGUUUCUAGAUGCGAAAUUAUUUAGAAAAAUAUAUAUGUGCCCCAAAACCAUCAGACCAAAAGUGUUGGGCUCUAAUUUUCUAUGGGAAGGUAAAAAUGGACUACGUCUAUUUCUUCAAAUUCCUCAUUGGGCUCUAAAAAUAAUUUAAGACGUUGACCAUUUACCUUGAAUAACGUACCUUCGCUAUUUUGAAGUGUGAUAGCUCCGUGGGAUGAUGAAUUGAUUACCUUGAAUGGUCCUUCCCAUUUGCUCCGGAGUUUUCCAUGCCCGAAAAGCUUCACCCUAGAAUUAAAAAGUAAUACCUUAUCUCCGGGUGUGAACUCCUUCUUCUUGAUUCUCUUGUCAUGCCACCUCUUGACUCUUUCUUUGUAGAUCUUUGAAUUGUGAUAUGCCUUCUCUCGCCAUUCUUCUAAUUCUGAUAGUUGCAUUCUUCUAUAAUCUCCAGCAACAUCUAGGUCCAUAUUCCAUCUCUUUAUGGCCCAGUGUGCUUUGAACUCUAGUUCAACAGGUAGAUGACAAGUUUUCCCUUACACCAAUUGGUAUGGAGACAUCCCAAUUGGGGUCUUAUAUGCUGUUCGGUAUGCCCAGAGUGCAUCGGGUAACUUGUCUUUCCACGCCGUUCCUAUUUCAUUUAUUGUCUUCUGAAGAAUAUUCUUGAUUUGUUUGUUGGAAGUCUCUGCUUGGCCACUUGUAUGAGGAUGAUAGGGAGUAGCGACGUUGUGACGGAUUCCAUGUCUUGAUAGGUAUUGCUUGAAGCGUUUGUCGAUGAAGUGUGCUCCUCCAUCACUUAUCACUACUCUGGGCACUCCAAAUCUUGGAAAUAUAAUUUCUUCGAACAUCCUCUUUGAACUGACGUUGUCGGCAUGCUUGCAAGGUAAUGCCUCUACCCACUUGGAGACAUAGUCAACUGCCACCAAGAUGUACUCGCACUUCUUUGAUGGAGGAAAUGGACCCAUGUAGUCUAUUCCCCAGACAUCAAAGAGCUCAAUCUGAAGGUUAUUGGUAAGUGGCAUUGCAUCCCUUGUAUUUAUGUUUCCGUGUCUUUGACAUGGCCCACAUCUUCUGAUAUAUUGCUUCGUGUCUUCAUACAUUGUAGGCCAAUAGAAUCCACACUGCCAGAUCUUUGAAUGUGUACGGAAUGCUCCAUAGUGACCUCCAUAUGGUGAUGAAUGACAUCUGUCGAUGAUCUUCCAUCCUUCCUCAGUGGUCACACAUCUCCUGAGUAAGCCAUCAGAGCAUACUCGGAAGAGGUAUGGCUCAUCCCAUAUAUGUGAACGACUUUCUUGAAUAAGCUUCUUUUUGUUUGCUCCUGGUGGUACAUACCCUGAAACCAUAAAAUUAACAAUAUCUGCAUACCAGGGGUCAGACCUGUUAAUCCCGUAGAGCAUGUCGUCCCGGAGUGAAUCAUUGAUGGGGGUUUCCUGUGGACUCUUAAAAUACAUUCUAGACAAGUGAUCAGCAACAGAAUUUUCUACUCCUUUUUUAUCUUUUAUUUCUAUGUCAAAUUCUUGGAGUAAUAAGAUCCAUCUAAUCAGGCGAGGUUUAGCGUCUUUUUUAGUGAGCAAAUAUUUUAGUGCAGCAUGAUCAGUGUAAACAAUUAUUUUAGCUCCAACUAAAUAAGAUCUAAAUUUAUCAAUGGUAAAGACAACAGCCAGAAGCUCUUUUUCAGUGGUUGCAUAAUUAAGUUGAGCUCCUGUCAAAGUUUUACUGGCAUAAGCAAUUGCAUGAUGCUUCUUAUUUUUAGUUUGCCCUAAUACUGCCCCCACAGCAUAAUCACUAGCAUCACACAUAAUUUCAAAAGGCAACGACCAAUCAGGGGGUUGAAUGAUUGGUGCAGAGAUGAGUGCUUUCUUUAAUAAAUUGAAAGAUGUUAGACAUACAUCAUCAAAUUCGAAAGGAGCAUCCUUGGCUAGCAAAAGAGUAAGUGGUCUAGCAAUAAAUGAAAAAUCUUUUAUGAAUCUACGAUAAAAACCAGCAUGGCCAAGAAAGCUUCGAAUUCCUUUUAUAUUCACAGGUGGAGGUAGUUGUUCAAUUACUUCAAUUUUAGCUUUGUCUACCUCAAUACCUCUUUCAGACACUAAGUGUCCUAGCACUAUUCCUUCCCUAACCAUAAAAUGACAUUUUUCCCAAUUAAGGAUUAAAUGCUUUUCUUCACAUCUUUGCAAAACCUUGUCUAAGUUUUCAAGACAACUAUCAAAAGUUUUUCCAUAAACAGAGAAAUCAUCCAUGAAAACUCCCAUAAUCUCUUCAAUCAUAUCAGAAAAUAUAGACAUCAUGCAUCUUUGAAAAGAAGCUGGUGCAUUACAUAACCCAAAAGACAUUCUACGGUAAGCAUAAGUUCCAUAAGGGCAUGUAAAAGUGGUUUUGCUUUGAUCAUCGGGAUGGAUCGGGAUUUGAUGAUACCCUGAAUAUCCAUCUAAGAAACAAAAGAAUGAAUGGUUUGCUAAUCGCCCUAGCAUCUCAUCUAUGAAAGGUAAAGGAAAGUGAUCCUUUCUCGUGGCUUUGUUUAGUUUUCUAUAAUCUAUGCACAUCCGCCAUCCUGUGACGGUGCGUUGCGGAAUUAGCUCAUUCUUUUCAUUCAUAAUAACUGUCAUGCCUCCCUUUUUGGGCACAACUUGUACUGGGCUUACCCACUCACUGUGCGGCACAGGAUAUAUAAUCCCUGCAUGUAACAACUUUAUAACUUCCUUUUUAACUACCUCUCUCAUAGUGUUGUUAAGUCUACGUUGGGGUUCUCGAGAGGGUGUAACAGAAGGAUCUGUUGGAAUACGAUGGGUACAAAUCAUAGGACUGAUUCCUGUAAGAUCUUGAAGUGAGUAGCCGAAAACUGAGUGAUGUUUCUCAAGAAUGGUCAUUAAUCGCAGAGUUUGAUCCUGAGUGAGUUUAUCGCUAAUGAUCACAGGGAACUCUGGAUUAUUGUUUAGGAAAGCAUAGAUAAGACCGGGUGGUAAAGUUUUAAGCUCUAUGGAGGGUCUAGGUGUUUCUGCAAACUCAUCUAAGGGUUCAGGCUCAGAAGGUUCGUCUUCUUCUUCUGUGAAGAAAGGAGUUUCGUCUUCUAAGUCUGGUUCAUCUAAAAGCUCUAGAGAUGCAGCCUUUACUUCCUCCAUAGGAUCAGGCAAAAGAUAUGACUCGGCCUUAUUAUUUAAGGAGUGUGAAAUUAUCAUUGGGAAUUGAAAAGUUUUUCCAAAAGAAAUAUGUAGCUUUCCCGUAUGACCUUCAUAAAGGAGUCUUCUAAAAGGUUGUCCUAUCAAUAGGUCGAAGUCCCAUGUAUCAAAGAUAUAGAAGUUCAAAUGAACCAUGGAGCCUUCUACUGUAAGAGGUAGGACAUUAAUAAUUCCAAGACUGGGGACUAAUCGUCCUGAAGAUUCCUUUAUGACCUUUGUUGUGGGGGUUAAGAUAAGAUUUUUAAAUAGUUUAAGUGCAAAGGAUUCAGACAUAAUGUUGAUCCCCACAACAGGAUUAUAGAGAGCAUUAAAUCGAUCAGAAUUAUAAGCACAGCGUAUAGUUAUAGAGGGUGUGUCCAAUCGGAUCACAUCAGAAGAAAGCUCUGAUUCCUCCAACCAUUCGCUACUCAUUACUGAGAUAAGCUCUCUCAAUUGAUAUUCACUUGGUAAAUAAAUGCUAAACUGGCCGUUUUGGGGUUUGUCAAUAGAAUGGUAGUUUGAAAUAUUUCCAAAAUUGGUAAAAAGAUCGGAUUCUAUAUCCAGCAUGAAGUCCGGUAGUGGAAUUUCUUCCUCUUGUGGCUCAAAACUUGGGAUAGCUAAAGUAGAUGAAGAAUUUGGCAGAGUGUCUACUUCGGCUUCGUAGGUUUCAUCAUGAAGGGUAUUAUCCAUCUCAGCUUCUAGGAUUCUAUCUAGGAUCACUCUAGCUCUAUCAGCAGGGAUGCGAAAGAAAGAACCUCUAGACAUUGUGUGUAGCAUUUGUUUGUGAUUUUUCUGAAGACCUCGAAAAAAGUGAAAUAAAAGAACAGGGUCUUCAAGAUUAAGGUUUGGACCAGAUUCUAAAAGAUCAGAAAAACGUUUCCAGGAUUUUCCCAAAGUUUCAUUAUCUUUUUGUUUAAAAGAUAGGACUUCGAGUCUAAGGUCGGCUAUACGGUCAAGGGAAUAGAAAUCUAGACAAAAGUUGGCUCGUAAAACUCCCCAUUCACCUUGUUGUUGACUUACCUUCUGACUGUACCAUUGUCUAGCUUCUCCCCUUAGAGAAAAAGGAAAAAGCUUCCAACGUAAAGUCUUAUCAGAAAUGCCUUCAAUGCGAAGACAAUCACAUGUUUGCUCAAAAUCUCUAAUAUGAAGGUAAGGGUUUUCGUCUUCCUUUCCCGAAAAAGAUAGGUUUUGAAUCAUGGCAAUCAACCUAGAACUUAACUUAUACUGGGAUGUUUGGAUAGGCUGUGAUGAUUCCCAUGGUAAAAGGUCAGUUGCUAAAGGGAUUGCAGACUCAUGGAUCGAUUUAGAAUUUUGGUUUUCCAUAAGGUAAGAGAAAAAUAAAUAAAGGAUAUAAAAGAUAAGAAAAGAUAAAAGUAUAGAUACAAGCUAAUAGCAAGACACAGGUUAUCUCAGCAACCGUCUUUCUCCCCGGCAACGGCGCCAGAAAUGCUUGUUGAUAUUUGGGAACGCAAUAAGGAAUUGAUCCGCAAGCGCACGGAUAUCGGUGAGCACUUCACCCGGGAAAUUAUCCAGAGUAUCGUAUUUAUUUUUUUUACCACUAGGAGAAAGAGUGCAUCUGACUAACCGGUCUAUUACUACUAACCUUUAGGCACAAAGAAUGUCUUUCGAUGUGAGUGAUUGUGGCAGAACCUCCUGAAUUAAAUGGCCCACAUGCACACAUCAUUGUCCCAAAGACUUCUGAUCGACGUGCACGAGUUCCAAAUGACUCAAGAAGUCUGUCGGGUGUCCUCGGGAAACCCGAAUCAUCCACGUAACAAUCUUUUCAGGAAUUCCCUCAUCAAGCAUCACAGUAUUACAACAUUUCAUAGAUAAGAGAAAUCAGAGUAAAAGCGGAAAGGUUACAUAACAUAGAUUGAAACUUAAGUUCAUAGUUUACAAACCAUAAGUAUUUGAUACAUAAAGGCUUCGGAACUUUAUUAUUACAUAAACCAUAGAUUCACACAACGACUUUUACUUGCACAAGGUCACACAUCAGAAACCUCAUCGUCACUUUCCUCCACAAGAGUAAAGUAACCAUGGCCAUCAAAAGGAUUAUCAAAAGACUCACCUGCAACAUGGGUUAAGAAACCCUGAGUACAAAAGUACUCCACAAGACUUAACCGACUAUAAAAGAGAUGAAGACUCAGGUAUGUAGGCUAUAGGGAUUCAAGGUAAAGCUUUAUCAAGAUCAAGUAUUUCUUUUGCAUAAAAGCUUACUAAGAGUAAAGCUUACUUUCAAGUUUUAACUCAAGAUUAUCACUUAUUGCUAGCCAAGAUCAUUAUCCAACUUUCAUAAGCAAAACACCUCUUUCUUAUACCAAAGAUUCACUUAUUACUACGAUGAUGGUACGAGGAUUGAGGCUCCAUAUCCGAGGAAACACGGCGAUUCGAAUCGAUUAAACCCAGCUGGGGAUUCAGUACCACACGACAUAUGUAGAACUUAAUCUUGCAUACGUCAACCUUUUCUAUAGAUCCUCCCAUACAAGAACGGGUCCAGCGUCACCCGAGAGUACAGUACACCACCAUCCUACAGCCAAUCUAGAUGUUUCCCGGUCAUCUCAGAUCCGUAAGGUGGGUACACGCUACUCUCGCCAUCUUUCCACUCCCAGUACGCGGUUAGCCGUUCUCAAGUAUCGGAAUAGCUAUAGAUAAGGCUUACCGCCGCAUGUGGGCUGUACUCAAAGUUCUCAAUCACAACAGGCCAAUCAACGGUACGGUCCUUAAUCGACUCAGUUGGAGACACUACUUUAAGACUCCAUUCUUAAAGCAAGUCCACCGACCGGUCUCAAAUUGAACAUCAUUAACUAUAAAAAUAUUCCACAACAACCCUUCAAACUCUUUCAUUUGAAAACUUAUCUAAUAAGCAGGGCUAAGCAUACUAAGCAUUUUCAUAAAGCAAGUACCAAGGUUAAUAUGGAAAUCAUCGAGGUAGAUAAUGCAGCAAAUAGGAUUCACUCAACUCCUAUUCACCUAAUGCAUCAUAUUAACUCAAGUGAUAUAAAUAACUUUAUGAAAAUACAAGGGUAGGGUUUAAUGUCCGGGGCUUGCCUUGGUCGGAGGAGACGUUCGGCAAUUCAACAACACCCGAAGGAUCCACAAACUCGGAAGAAAUCCACUGAGGAUCAGAUUCUUCCGGAGCGUAUUCUAUACGUAAAAGUGCAUAUGCAUGAUUAUGAUAUAUUCAAGGUAUGAUAAAGACAAAUUACAUGGUCUUGGAUAGAAACAACAAACUAUGAUUAUCUCGAGUACAAUUUACCUUCACGGUAUAGAAACAACUAACUUAGCUACCCAAAAACAUGGAUUAUUUCUAACAAGUUUUAUCAUCUUUAUUAAGCAAUAAAGUGAAUCUAUCAUAUCAUAAAGAUUAUUUAUAUGAAAAUAAACCAUAACCAGGGAGCAUAUCAUGCUAAGUAACCAGGGUUGUCAAACAAUCCAAAACAUCACCCAAACCCUAAAGGGAUUAAUUAUUUCUAUUUCUUUUAUAAGCAUUUUAAAUAGCUUUAUUAAGAAACAUAGCAUACUUUAUCAAACAGAGCUGAAAUUAAUCAUGAAGCUAGAUAACAGUUACACAAAAUCACAUAUUAAAUUUCAUGAUUUUUGGAUAUACCCAAAAUUGAUUAAAAAUCAUGGAAGAUUUAUUUAUUAAUAAACAGAGGCAAUUUUUACACACAUGCAAACUACCAGAAAAUAUAACCAAAUAUUUUUCAUGUGUUCUACUCAUUUUAAGGAAGCCAUACAAAAAUUCUCAUAAUUUUUGGAUUAGCACAUGAUUUAAUACAUAAAUUCAAACAUAAUUCAAAAACUGCAGAAAAAGAAAAAGAAAACACUGCAGCGAAAUGGCCGGAAUUCGGCCCGCAGGUCGGCCCACUCCAGUUCGGCCCGCGCGGACGCUGCGCGCGCCCUCUCUCCCUCUCACACAGCCGCUGACGGGGUAGCCCCACCCGUCAGCUCUCUCUCCCACACACACGGCGGCUCGGCCGCGACUCCGGUCGCCGCCGGCGGGGUCUGAGCUCGUGCUAAGGAGCGCAACAGCGUCGCGUCACUCUCGUGACUCCAAAGCUAGGCUCUAAACACGCCCUACCCGUUUCUCCCCACCUCGGCCACACGAAUGGCGGGCGACCAUGGCGGUUCCCGUAGACCGGCCGCUGUGGCUCGGUAGAGCGCAAAAGAAUUGGACAGAGAGGUUUGGAGAGGGAUAAGGAACACGGUGCUCACAUUACUACGGUGGGAGAAGCAGCAGAGAAGAUUGGCGACGGAGGCGGUGUCGUCGGGCGGACGCUCUGGUUCGGCGGCGUUAUUCCGGUGAACCUGCUCGUGCCCAAGGAAAAGUAGCAAGCGCAUGAGCAUCAGAAUGACAAGGAGAGGUAGGAACACCAACUAGAAUGGCGUGCAACCUUCGAGAACGGCUUGGCCACGGUGAGGGUUCCCACGGCGGCGCUCUGUCGCCGGCGGAGAGAAAGACAACGGAAAACGGGGCUCUGGUACGAAAGAGAAAGGAAUGCUAGGCUCAGGAGAUGCGCAAGGAAGUGACCAAUAUAGGUCCACGGUGAAUUUGGAUAAGGAUCAACCGUGACGGUGAAUUUUGGAUUGGAAUGGUUCACUGCUCGUCGGUGCUUCGGUGGUGAAAAUGGCGUCGGUGAGCGCAGGAUGGAAAGGCACGUUGCGCUCCACUUCGCCAGCAGGUGCUUCACCUUGCCACGGACGCGGACACGCGCUAGGACGGAGUGAAACGGCGGUUCACGGGUCGGCAACACCGAUCGUCGCUCGGCGGUACACCGCCAUGAACAGGAACCAAAGCUUAUCCCCCCUUGCCCCAUUUACCCCUUUUUGUCCUAUUGCAAAAAUCGACCAAAAGUUGAACUGAAGUCAAAUUUUUACCAAAAAGAAACUUGUGCAAAAUUUUGUAAGUUACAAAACAUCUUUUGGUGGCCAGAGCUAAUUCUGAGUGGAAAUUAGCUAAAUUUGCCAAACAGUUUUGAAAUUCAAGCUCAAUUCCAAAUUUUUGAAUUGGGGCAAAACAGAAUUUCCAAAAUUACUUUUGAUUUUAUAAAACAACUUGAAAAACUCCCAACAUGAAAGUUGUUCAACUUUUCAAGCCCUACAACUCUCAUGUUGACCAUUUUUCAAAAUUCCAAACAGAUUUUGAAUUGGAGAUUUAAGUUUGAAAAGGGGACACUUUCCGGAAAUCUGUAUUUUCAAAAUUACUUUGAAUUUUGUACUGAAACUUCAAAAACUCAAAACACCAAAGUUGUACAUCUUGACAAGACCUACAACUUUGCUUUUAAACUCAACUUCAAAUUCUGCUUGGUUUUUGAAUUGCACAAAAGGGGGCAAAUCUAGGGUUUUGGAAACUAGGGUUUCCCCCCUUAAGCUCUCGGAAAAACUUUCACCCAAAGUUUUUAAACUCCAAAACAAGCAUCCAUACAUAAAUUAAACACACUUUAAAUCCCUAAACACAUUCAUCCAAAAUAAACUUAUUUUAGGUUAAUGCAUCAGGGUUUACUUAACACUAAACUAUGCAAUGCUCAUGAUGACAUGUCAUGUUUUAAUUCGCUUAACACCAGAGUGUUACAGCUCUUUCCCCCUUAAAGAAAUCUCGUCCCGAGAUUUACCUUAAAGUCUAACUAAUGGAAAAGGAAAUUUGUCAAGCAUUUCCAAAACCCACCUUUACAAAAACAGGGGUAGAUUAUAACACUAUAGAUUACAAGGAUAAGACAGAAGAAAAGAACUCAGGAAAACGUUCUAAAAGAAACUCUUCGGAUUCCCACGUGGCUUCAUCUUCGGUAUGUUGAUUCCAUUGCACCUUGUAAUACUUGAUAGUUCUUCUACGAGUGACUCGAUCUUUUUGAUCCAGAAUCUUGAUAGGAUACUCUGAAUAUGUCAGAUCAGGCUUUAACUCAAUUCCUUCAACAGGAAUGAUAUGAUCAGGCACUCGAAGACAUUUCUUCAACUGAGAGACAUGGAACACAUUGUGUACUGAUAACAACUGUGGUGGUAAAUCUAGACGAUAUGCUACCUUUCCACAUCUUUCAAGGAUUUGAUAUGGACCUAUAUAUCGAGGUGCCAAUUUUCCUUUUACUCCAAAACGAGUGACUCCUUUCAUAGGUGACACUUUGAGGUAUACAUAAUCACCAACCUCAAAGUUAAGAGAUCGACGUCUCUUAUCGGUAUAACUCUUUUGCCUGGACUGUGCUAUCUUCAUGUUCUCUCGAAUGAGCCUGACUUUUUCUUCGGUUUCUUUGACUAAGUCAACCCCGAAGAGACUAUGUUCCCCAGGUUCUGACCAAUUCAAAGGUGUCCUGCACCUUCUGCCAUACAGAGCUUCGAAUGGUGCCAUCUUAAUGCUCUCUUGAUAACUAUUAUUAUAAGAGAAUUCUGCUAAAGGCAAACAUUCAUGCCAUUUCUCCGAAUAACUGAGCACACAAGAUCUUAACAUAUCUUCUAAGAUCUGAUUGACUCUUUCAGUCUGACCUCCAGUCUGUGGAUGAUAAGCUGUACUAUGCAGAAGUUUGGUACCCAAGGACUUAUGCAGAUGCUUCCAGAAAGCAUUCACAAACUGUGUCCCUCUAUCAGAUACAAUAGUCUUUGGAACACCAUGUAGACUCACAAUUCUGUUAAAGUAUAUCUUAGCAUAGUCAGAAGCUCGAUAAUCCUUUCUUACUGGAAUGAAAUGAGCUGAUUUGGUCAGACGAUCAACAAUGACCCAUAUGGAAUCAAACCCUCUCGAUGUUCUGGGUAGACCCACUAUGAAGUCCAUACUAAUGUCAUCCCAUUUCCAAGAUGGAAUUGGCAACGGUUGCAAUUCUCCAGCAGACCUGAGAUGAACUGCUUUCACCUUUUGACAAGUAUCACAUCUAGCCACAUAACUAGCAAUCUCAAGCUUCAUCUUAGUCCACCAGAAUCUUUGUUUUAAAUCAUGAUACAUCUUAUUACUACCUGGAUGGAUUGAAAACCUUGUUGCAUGAGCUUCAUCAAGAAUUUGUUUUCUGAGUUCAGGAACUUUUGGGACUACUAACCGAUCCUUGAACCAAACUACUCCAGCUUCAUCUAUUCUGAACUUGGAAUUCUGCUCAGACUGGAUCUUUUCUUUCAAAAAGCUCAUACCCUUAUUUUCUUGUUGGGCUGCAAUAAUCUGAUCUUUGAUGGAUGACUGAACUGUAAUGUUUACAAGACUUCCUUGUGGAAUCAUCUCAAGACCUAACUUUUCAAAUUCAUAACACAAGGUAAGGUCUAUAGGCUUGACUUCCAUACAAUUGCAAUGGCUCUUUCGACUGAGUGCAUCUGCCACCACAUUGGCUUUGCCUGGGUGAUAAUGUACCUCAAUAUCAUAAUCUUUUAUCAGUUCUAACCAUCUUCUCUGGCGCAUAUUCAACUCUGACUGAGUAAAGAUGUAUUUCAAACUCUUAUGAUCAGUAUAUAUGUGACAAGUAUUGCCCAAUAGAUAAUGUCGCCAGAUCUUCAGAGCAUGGACUACAGCUGCCAACUCUAGAUCAUGGGUUGGAUAAUGCUCUUCAUGACGCUUAAGUUGUCGUGAAGCAUAUGCAAUGACUCUGCCUUCUUGCAUUAGUACACACCCAAUGCCCUUGCCUGACGCAUCACAAUACACAUCAAAAGAUUUUUCAAUAUCAGGUUGAGCUAACACUGGUGCAGUGGUCAACAACUUUUUCAAGGUCCGAAAAGCUUCUUCACACUCGGAUGACCACACAAACUUGGUAUCAUUCUUUAGCAGUGUUGUCAUUGGUUUAGAGAUCUUGGAGAAGUCAGGGAUAAACCUGCGAUAAUACCCUGCUAAUCCUAAGAAACUCCGAACUUGAUGUACUGAAGUUGGUGACUUCCAGUCAAGAACUUCCUGAACUUUGCUUGGAUCUACUGCAACACCUUCAGCUGACAGGACAUGACCCAAAAAUUGGACUUCAUCUAUCCAGAAUUCACACUUGCUAAACUUAGCAUAUAACUGAUGUUCUCUCAGGCGAGUCAACACUAUCCUGAGAUGCUCUUCAUGCUCUUCUUUAGUUUUGGAAUAAAUGAGAAUGUCAUCAAUGAAUACCACCACGAACUUAUCUAACUCUGGCAUAAACACUGAAUUCAUCAGAUACAUAAAAUGUGCUGGGGCAUUUGUCAGACCGAAAGACAUGACCAGAUAUUCAUACAGACCAUAUCGGGUAGUGAAUGCUGUUUUCGGAACAUCUUUUGGCUUGAUCUUAAUUUGAUGAUACCCAGAUCUCAAGUCUAUCUUUGAAAAUACCUUAGCACCGGUUAGUUGAUCAAAGAGAAGAUCAAUACGGGGCAAAGGAUACUUAUUCUUGAUUGUUACCUCAUUCAAAGGACGAUAGUCCACACAUAACCUCAAGGUAUGGUCCUUUUUCUUCACAAAGAUUGCCGGACAACCCCAUGGUGAUGAACUAGGUCGAAUGAAACCUUUAUCCAUUAAUUCUUGCAACUGCGUUUUCAAUUCUGCUAAUUCUUUUGGUGGCAUUCUAUAAGCUCUUCUAGAUAUUGGUGCUGUCCCUGGCUUGAGCUCUAUUUCAAACUCCACAUCACGAUCUGGUGGCAAACCAGGUAAAUCUUCUGGAAACACAUCAGGAAACUCACAGACCACUGGAAUAUCCUUGAUUUCCUUGACAGAGAUAGCACACACUUGCUCAACUGCUCUCUUAAGAGUAGGAAGAUGGAUAAGAAGUUGAGACUUGCUAUUAGGUAAGUUGACCCUGAUAGUUCUAUUUAAGGUGUCUAUAACUGCACCUCUCUGGCUCAUCCAGUUCAUACCCAAGAUCACAUCUAUACUCGGAUCUUUUAACACUAUCAUGGAUGUUGGAAAUAUAUAUCCACCCAAGUCUAUUGGCACCUGAUGUACCAUUUCCUUAGUGCAUAGUCGACCCCCAGGUGACUGUAUAAAGAACUCAUCUUUGGUUGCACCAAUAGGUAUAUUAUGCUUUUCCGCAAAUGUUCUAUUCAUGAAAGUAUGUGAUGCUCCAGAAUCAAAAAGUGUAAGUGCUGGGUGUUGGGCAACAGGGAACAUACCAAGCAUCACUGGCUCUCCCUCAGGUAUAGCUUCAACUUGAGUAUGGAAAACCCUUCCUGUUUUCUGAGUACCUUUACCCUUCUGCGGAUUCUGGGCAGGACCUUUGUUCUGAUUUGUUUGUUGAUUUCCAACUGGCCUUGGUGCGUUGACAUUUGGAACACUUUGCCUUGGAUAUGGACAUUCACGAGAAAAAUGUCCACUCUUCCCACAAUUGUAACAAGGGUUGUUUGCAGCUUGUGGCAUUGACGGACGAAUGGCAGGAACAUUUGGCUGACGUUGAACAUUGAAUGGCAUUGUCGGCCUUACAAAACUCCUCUGCAUAUUCUGCUGCUGAGGCGGCUGAUAAGAAGGACGAUAAGAUGGGCGGAAUUGCUGAGCUGGAUGAUACAUGAGCCUCUGGCGCUUCUUGUUGCCGCCAGAUGAUCCAGACCCUGAGACAAACCCCUUCUUCUUCUUAGCCUCCUUAUGCUUGCGGUUCUUUUCUUCACUGGAGAUAGCAAUGUUCACUGCCUCAUGAUAAGAUAUAUUGCCACAUGAUGCCAUCAUCAGUUGAAGCUUUGUAUUCAAGCCUCUCAUGAAACAAUCCUUCUUCUUUUCAUCAGUGUUGACUUGCUCAAUUGCAUAUUGGGACAGAUGAUUAAACUUUCCAAUAUACUGUAUGACUGAGUCAUCCCCCUGACGGAGAGCUAAGAACUCUUCGAGCUUCAUUUUCAUAACUCCCUUGGGAAUGUAAUGAGCCCUGAAGGCUUCCUUGAAUUCUCCCCAAGUGAUUCGGUGGCGGGCUGGUUGAACAGCCAGUAAAUUUUCCCACCAAACUCCUGCGGCUCCUCUCAGCUGCUGAGCGGCAAAAGCUGGCUUCUGAGUUUCAGUACAGUUGAUGAGACUGAACUUUUGAUCCAUAGUGCGGAGCCAAUCCUCAGCUUCAAGAGGUUCAUCGGCUUUUGUGAAAACUGGGGGACGAGUAUCUGUGAAGUCAACAUAUGUGGUUUCUUCUCGGUUAUGGCGACCACGGCCACGCUGACCAGCAUUCUGAUUUUGUGCUAACAGAGUUGUUGCAUUGACCAAUGCUGCAAUUGCAUCAGCCAAAGAGGGUGGAACUGGUGGUGCAUUAGGAAAAUCAUCCCCACCCUGGGAAGAACUAGCUCCAUGGUUGUUAGCAGACAUCUGUUUAAAAACACAUCACACUUUAAUUAACAUGCUUACUUAACCAUCAUACAUCAUGACUUACAUAACACAAACACGUUCAUCUUAUUUAUCAUACAAGUCCGCUCCUGGGCAGGACUACUGAAACCACUAUCUUACACAACUUCCCAUACUAGAGGUUUUCUGACUAACUAAGUUACAAAGUCAGAAGAUCACACUCGGUCAUACUUCUUGCCUUCUCAACACCUAGUCGUCAUCCAUCUCCGACUCACUGGUGGUAACACCCUCAUCUGGAGUGGGAGUUCCUGGUUCUUCUGCUUCAUCCUCAGAAGUAUCACUAUCCACUUGGAUGACAACUGGUCCUUCCUCUGCUGCUUCAGGAGCCUCGGGUGGAUUGAGGGCAUCCUGCAGCUGGUGCACUUCCUCAUGGAGGGUGUUGGCAUAGGCCUCAAGAUUGACCACAUACCCCGCCAUAUGGUACAGCUGAACUUCCAUGUUGAUGUUGUCAGUGAGCAUCAGGCGCAGAUCAUUCUUCAUAAGCCUGUAGGUCCUUGGCGAAGGAGGACCUCCGCUAGUGUCACUCCCGUUUCCGUCGCUGGAGUUGUCAGUGCUACUGUCGCUGCUAUCGGAGGGUGGCGGAUCCCUUGAUGCCAACUGGUGCCUGGGGACACGACCUCCGGUGGACUUGCGAGCGGUUAGGCGGGUACGUGCCAUCUGCCAAAAUAUUUUUUAUUUUGAAUAUUAGAACUAUAUAUGUUCCAAGGUUAAAGAAUAGAGUUUUACAAUUAGAUGGACACUUUACCUCUAAUUAUUAACAACUUUAAGGAGGGAAAGUUAAUUACAUGUUAUCAAUAAUGAUGCAUGAAACGUACUUACGAACCAAACAUACAUCAAACAAAUAAUUAACUUUAAGUUAGGCACUUGAUAUAAAAGUGCAUAAACUUUCUUUUCAUAAAUAGGGCAUUCUUAUACUAUCAUAAGCAUUGUUCCUUGUAUAUAUAAAUAUCACCAUAAUCACACUAAAAACAUAUCCAUUUAGAGAGAAGGAUAAGUCUAAAGAAUGAAUUGAGACAAGUUAGAAACAUAAGACAAGCUUAGAAGCAAUUUGGACCCAAACUAAUUUGAAAUUUAGUUUGACUCAAAAGCUUUUGAAGUUUUCAAAAUCGAAUACUGCUAUACUUUCUAAGGGAAACCUGCUCUGAUACCAGCUGUGGCAGAACCUCCUGAAUUAAAUGGCCCACAUGCACACAUCAUUGUCCCAAAGACUUCUGAUCGACGUGCACGAGUUCCAAAUGACUCAAGAAGUCUGUCGGGUGUCCUCGGGAAACCCGAAUCAUCCACGUAACAAUCUUUUCAGGAAUUCCCUCAUCAAGCAUCACAGUAUUACAACAUUUCAUAGAUAAGAGAAAUCAGAGUAAAAGCGGAAAGGUUACAUAACAUAGAUUGAAACUUAAGUUCAUAGUUUACAAACCAUAAGUAUUUGAUACAUAAAGGCUUCGGAACUUUAUUAUUACAUAAACCAUAGAUUCACACAACGACUUUUACUUGCACAAGGUCACACAUCAGAAACCUCAUCGUCACUUUCCUCCACAAGAGUAAAGUAACCAUGGCCAUCAAAAGGAUUAUCAAAAGACUCACCUGCAACAUGGGUUAAGAAACCCUGAGUACAAAAGUACUCCACAAGACUUAACCGACUAUAAAAGAGAUGAAGACUCAGGUAUGUAGGCUAUAGGGAUUCAAGGUAAAGCUUUAUCAAGAUCAAGUAUUUCUUUUGCAUAAAAGCUUACUAAGAGUAAAGCUUACUUUCAAGUUUUAACUCAAGAUUAUCACUUAUUGCUAGCCAAGAUCAUUAUCCAACUUUCAUAAGCAAAACACCUCUUUCUUAUACCAAAGAUUCACUUAUUACUACGAUGAUGGUACGAGGAUUGAGGCUCCAUAUCCGAGGAAACACGGCGAUUCGAAUCGAUUAAACCCAGCUGGGGAUUCAGUACCACACGACAUAUGUAGAACUUAAUCUUGCAUACGUCAACCUUUUCUAUAGAUCCUCCCAUACAAGAACGGGUCCAGCGUCACCCGAGAGUACAGUACACCACCAUCCUACAGCCAAUCUAGAUGUUUCCCGGUCAUCUCAGAUCCGUAAGGUGGGUACACGCUACUCUCGCCAUCUUUCCACUCCCAGUACGCGGUUAGCCGUUCUCAAGUAUCGGAAUAGCUAUAGAUAAGGCUUACCGCCGCAUGUGGGCUGUACUCAAAGUUCUCAAUCACAACAGGCCAAUCAACGGUACGGUCCUUAAUCGACUCAGUUGGAGACACUACUUUAAGACUCCAUUCUUAAAGCAAGUCCACCGACCGGUCUCAAAUUGAACAUCAUUAACUAUAAAAAUAUUCCACAACAACCCUUCAAACUCUUUCAUUUGAAAACUUAUCUAAUAAGCAGGGCUAAGCAUACUAAGCAUUUUCAUAAAGCAAGUACCAAGGUUAAUAUGGAAAUCAUCGAGGUAGAUAAUGCAGCAAAUAGGAUUCACUCAACUCCUAUUCACCUAAUGCAUCAUAUUAACUCAAGUGAUAUAAAUAACUUUAUGAAAAUACAAGGGUAGGGUUUAAUGUCCGGGGCUUGCCUUGGUCGGAGGAGACGUUCGGCAAUUCAACAACACCCGAAGGAUCCACAAACUCGGAAGAAAUCCACUGAGGAUCAGAUUCUUCCGGAGCGUAUUCUAUACGUAAAAGUGCAUAUGCAUGAUUAUGAUAUAUUCAAGGUAUGAUAAAGACAAAUUACAUGGUCUUGGAUAGAAACAACAAACUAUGAUUAUCUCGAGUACAAUUUACCUUCACGGUAUAGAAACAACUAACUUAGCUACCCAAAAACAUGGAUUAUUUCUAACAAGUUUUAUCAUCUUUAUUAAGCAAUAAAGUGAAUCUAUCAUAUCAUAAAGAUUAUUUAUAUGAAAAUAAACCAUAACCAGGGAGCAUAUCAUGCUAAGUAACCAGGGUUGUCAAACAAUCCAAAACAUCACCCAAACCCUAAAGGGAUUAAUUAUUUCUAUUUCUUUUAUAAGCAUUUUAAAUAGCUUUAUUAAGAAACAUAGCAUACUUUAUCAAACAGAGCUGAAAUUAAUCAUGAAGCUAGAUAACAGUUACACAAAAUCACAUAUUAAAUUUCAUGAUUUUUGGAUAUACCCAAAAUUGAUUAAAAAUCAUGGAAGAUUUAUUUAUUAAUAAACAGAGGCAAUUUUUACACACAUGCAAACUACCAGAAAAUAUAACCAAAUAUUUUUCAUGUGUUCUACUCAUUUUAAGGAAGCCAUACAAAAAUUCUCAUAAUUUUUGGAUUAGCACAUGAUUUAAUACAUAAAUUCAAACAUAAUUCAAAAACUGCAGAAAAAGAAAAAGAAAACACUGCAGCGAAAUGGCCGGAAUUCGGCCCGCAGGUCGGCCCACUCCAGUUCGGCCCGCGCGGACGCUGCGCGCGCCCUCUCUCCCUCUCACACAGCCGCUGACGGGGUAGCCCCACCCGUCAGCUCUCUCUCCCACACACACGGCGGCUCGGCCGCGACUCCGGUCGCCGCCGGCGGGGUCUGAGCUCGUGCUAAGGAGCGCAACAGCGUCGCGUCACUCUCGUGACUCCAAAGCUAGGCUCUAAACACGCCCUACCCGUUUCUCCCCACCUCGGCCACACGAAUGGCGGGCGACCAUGGCGGUUCCCGUAGACCGGCCGCUGUGGCUCGGUAGAGCGCAAAAGAAUUGGACAGAGAGGUUUGGAGAGGGAUAAGGAACACGGUGCUCACAUUACUACGGUGGGAGAAGCAGCAGAGAAGAUUGGCGACGGAGGCGGUGUCGUCGGGCGGACGCUCUGGUUCGGCGGCGUUAUUCCGGUGAACCUGCUCGUGCCCAAGGAAAAGUAGCAAGCGCAUGAGCAUCAGAAUGACAAGGAGAGGUAGGAACACCAACUAGAAUGGCGUGCAACCUUCGAGAACGGCUUGGCCACGGUGAGGGUUCCCACGGCGGCGCUCUGUCGCCGGCGGAGAGAAAGACAACGGAAAACGGGGCUCUGGUACGAAAGAGAAAGGAAUGCUAGGCUCAGGAGAUGCGCAAGGAAGUGACCAAUAUAGGUCCACGGUGAAUUUGGAUAAGGAUCAACCGUGACGGUGAAUUUUGGAUUGGAAUGGUUCACUGCUCGUCGGUGCUUCGGUGGUGAAAAUGGCGUCGGUGAGCGCAGGAUGGAAAGGCACGUUGCGCUCCACUUCGCCAGCAGGUGCUUCACCUUGCCACGGACGCGGACACGCGCUAGGACGGAGUGAAACGGCGGUUCACGGGUCGGCAACACCGAUCGUCGCUCGGCGGUACACCGCCAUGAACAGGAACCAAAGCUUAUCCCCCCUUGCCCCAUUUACCCCUUUUUGUCCUAUUGCAAAAAUCGACCAAAAGUUGAACUGAAGUCAAAUUUUUACCAAAAAGAAACUUGUGCAAAAUUUUGUAAGUUACAAAACAUCUUUUGGUGGCCAGAGCUAAUUCUGAGUGGAAAUUAGCUAAAUUUGCCAAACAGUUUUGAAAUUCAAGCUCAAUUCCAAAUUUUUGAAUUGGGGCAAAACAGAAUUUCCAAAAUUACUUUUGAUUUUAUAAAACAACUUGAAAAACUCCCAACAUGAAAGUUGUUCAACUUUUCAAACCCUACAACUCUCAUGUUGACCAUUUUUCAAAAUUCCAAACAGAUUUUGAAUUGGAGAUUUAAGUUUGAAAAGGGGACACUUUCCGGAAAUCUGUAUUUUCAAAAUUACUUUGAAUUUUGUACUGAAACUUCAAAAACUCAAAACACCAAAGUUGUACAUCUUGACAAGACCUACAACUUUGCUUUUAAACUCAACUUCAAAUUCUGCUUGGUUUUUGAAUUGCACAAAAGGGGGCAAAUCUAGGGUUUUGGAAACUAGGGUUUCCCCCCUUAAGCUCUCGGAAAAACUUUCACCCAAAGUUUUUAAACUCCAAAACAAGCAUCCAUACAUAAAUUAAACACACUUUAAAUCCCUAAACACAUUCAUCCAAAAUAAACUUAUUUUAGGUUAAUGCAUCAGGGUUUACUUAACACUAAACUAUGCAAUGCUCAUGAUGACAUGUCAUGUUUUAAUUCGCUUAACACCAGAGUGUUACAGUGAUAAAUAGAGAAGACUGCAACCGUAGUCUCCUUCUAACCUUGGUAAGGAUGAUCUACUGUUCUAAUGGGGAGGCUAACGGAAUCUAGACACCACAAAGGAUGUUCAACCCGCACCUAUAAACCCUAUCCUUCCUGCUAACGAGAUGUGAUCUACAAAGGUAGCUCGGAAAUGUCACGUUCCUCACUACUACCACGGUCCAGCUAGUCAGGGAAUAUCUAUGAGUACCCCAGCCUAAACACCACGUUUACGCCAGCAAUGAUUACUCUAAACUCUACGCGAAGAGAUUAAAGUAAACUCAUAAACCAUAAGAACAAUAAAACAAGAAUUUAUUAGAAUUUAGAAGUCGAAUUACUGAAAAAUCCUAGGAGCAAGCUUCGGGUUAGGAGAACUUGAUCCCGCAGGUACAAGCUUGGAGUAGACACCGACAGGCCGGGCUUCCUCCACUCUACACCUCCACUCUAUCUCUCUCAAUCUAGUAGAAACUAGAAGAUCUAUUUCUACCUUACAUUGAUUGCUAAGCCUAAAAAAAAUAUUAAUUAGAGAAGAGGUUUUCCUUCGAGGGCACCCCUCAGUCUCUAUGAUAAUUUCUUCAUGUCUUCUCCAGGGGCCAGGGGGGCCUUGCUUAUAUAGUCCUCCCCUUCUAUGCGUUUUUGGGUCGAUAGACGAGGUGGUACUAUGUUUUUCUUGAUCCAAUAGGUCGGUGGAAUAUCCCGAACGAAAGAGUCCUGAUUUGGCUCCAGCAGGGGGGCGGGCGCCUAGGCUACCAGGGCGGGCGCCCUGGGCCUGGCCCAGUUUUGCCUCCGCUUCGGUCUCUUGGCUUCUGGAGUCUUCUAGAUGAUGUAAAAUUGCGCGGUGCGUUGAUAUCUCUAUGUAAUCCUGACAUGUGGGCCUUUCUUCCUUAUUUCCUGAUAGCCCCCUGCAGAUAUAGAUAAACAACAAAACUCGUGGAAUUCUGUCAGAUCAAACCCUAAUUCUAGGUGAUGGUUGCAUAUUGGUCCUUUCUCUUGUUUAUUUGAUAAUUAAAAUUGAUACUUAAGAACCGUCAACAGCCUCUAUGGGCCAUCAGAUUAGAAACAGACGGCCUCGAUCUAAUCUGGGAGAAAGAGUGGGUGGGCUCUGGCUGGCCGGCCGUCGACGCGAGAGUUCGGCGCGGCGGCUCCAUGCCCGCCGCCGUAAAGCUCGCCGGGGUUCGCUAAACCCACGAUUGGGUCCACUAUUUGCCAAACCAAACACACCAGGAGAAAGCGGGGGCGAUCGUGGGCUCACCUAGGGUCCUUACGCGUAUGGAGCAAGCUCGGCGGGAUCCGCUUCUUGACGCCAGUGGUGGCUGGGGCUUCCCUAACGCGUUUAGAUCGAAAAGAUGCAUGUGGGGCGGGACUAGGAACUCUAUAGGGGCUCAGUUUGCGCGUUUUGGCAAGGAAUCCCGAGAAAUCGGGUUCGGUACGCUCUCGACCGUGUCCGGCUCGCUUACGGCGCAAGGUAGGAGACGACUGACAGUUAGGUCCCGGCUGUCGAUGUGAGGAGAGAGGGGGAAGGGCGGGCGCGCGCCUGGGCCACACGAAGGAAAUUGGGCCGCGGGGAAGGGAAGGGGGAGAGGAGGGAAACGCGCUGCUGGGCCGCGACUUUAGCUGGGCUGGGCCGAGGCCGAGAGGGGGGAGUUUUCCUUUUUCUUUUUCUUUUGUUUUGUUUUGUUUUGUUUUUUUAUUUCAAUGCCAUUUUGAAACAUUUUCAAAAGCAUUUAAAUUCAGUUUGAAGUUUGGUAAAAAUCACUCAUCUCAAAAUCAAAUGCACCGGCAUGUAAUCACAGAAAUGUUUCUACAUCCUAUGUUAAGUUUUAGCUUUAUUAAAAAAAAUAUUAUUUUCCCUAUAUUCCAUGAGCACAAAAUUUCAUAAAUAAAUCAUUUUAGCUCUAUUCCCAAGAAAACAAUUUUUUUAGGGUGUUACAAAUCUUAUCCAUUGCGUCAUGAAGAUAGUGUUAUUGAGGAUGAAGAAGGAGAGUAGCUACCUGCAUACUACCCAUGACAAUGCAGAAGAUUGCCAUUGAUGAUCACACGCUCUCUUGUAGGACAAGCCUAGUGCUGAAGCUCAAAGCCUUGUGGGAGGAACAACACUAGACUCAAUGCAAAAUGGUAGCGAUGGAUUGUUGAAGUGGAGAUGUAGGCGACGCCGCUAGAACUAUUGCUUGGGGCAGUUGGGGUUUCUGAAUUGCUCGGGGAAGUGUAAGAGAUGGCACAAUCUUUGAGGAUGGUUGCUCCACCAAUUAAGGAGUUUGGAGAUGCUUUUCUUUCCUUUGUUUUAGGUUUAACAUUAGAGAUUAUCUUGGACCACCAAAAAAACUCUUGGGCUCGACCGAGUGAGACACCAUCGAGCUUUAUGUCCAUAAUUGAAGCAGGCCUUGCAACGGAUUUGCUGACAUCACACAAAGGAUGAAUGGCCUUGGCCAAGGCAAUGUUGACAACAAGAGAAGCCCAAGGCGGGUUUGGAAAUGGAAGGCGAAGAAUACGGUAAAUCUCUUGUCAGUUCAAAAUUUGAAAGUUUAGGAGUAGAAGAACGCGGGAAAAGAUCACGGCUCAGAUCAACAACAACCAGAGGAGAAAGCCUUGAUAGAAUGCGAUUGGAAACCACUUUGGAACUGACCGGACUAUGAGCACUGAGCACAUUCAAACCAAAACAAAGAAUUAAACUCCGAGAAUCAACUAGAACCUUAACGUUGAAUUCAAAACAGAUAGUUUAGGGAAGAGGAUGGACUUUUAUUAGAGGUGAUCUUUGAAUCAACUGAGGAGCAAAUUGCACUUUUUUAAGACAUGGAAAUUCUCAUGUACUGUUUAGAGAAAACUCUAGUCCACUCUUUCAUGUUCUUCCUCCACAAAUGCAUUUUUUUCCCUUUGCUAGUGGACCACAACAUUGCGCUAGAGAUAAAAAAUAAGCAUAAAAACUCUUCCUAAUAAAUCACUUAUUUUGUACUCCUUCCAUUCCAAAUUGUAAGUCAUUCCAAGAAUCUUUGAGAGUCAAACUUUUCUAAAUUUUACCAAAUUUAUAUGAUAAAAUAAUACUCCCUCCAUACUGAAAAACCAGUCGUUCUAGGCCCAUCGAUCGUUUUCGUAAAACUUGUCGCUGUGGCAUCGAGGCUAGCGUUUUUGACGCGAUUACCCCUGGUCAGCUACCGCCUCCCAUCCGUUCGGCUGCCCACUCAACCACGCGCAUGCACAUGCUCCUCGUUACUCGACCGUAUUUAUUCUCGGCCGCGCAUCCGUUUAGCUGCCGCAUUUAACCACGCGUGCAUGCUCUCCUCAGUUCGUCUCUCUCGCAUGCCGCAUGCAACCACGAAUGGCUCGCUCAUGUCCUCAGUUCGUCUCUCUCGCAUGCCGCAUGCAACCACGAAUGGCUCUCCUCAGUUCGUCUCUCUCGCAUGCCGCAUGCAACCACAAGUGGCUCGCUCAUGUCCUCAGUUCGUCUCUCUCGCAUGCCGCAUGCAACCACGAAUGGCUCGCUCGUCUGCACACGCUCUCGCAUGCCGCAUGCAACCACGAAUGGCUCGCUCGUGUCCUCAGUUCGUCUCUCUCGCAUGCCGCAUGCAACCACGAAUGGCUCGCUCGUCUGCACACGCGCUCGCCGCUCGUCGCGUCCUUGCUGCUUGUCGUGUCCAACGCUAGCCAACGCGCCAGGCCCAGCAAAAAAAUCUACAGCCACUGGGGCUCGAUCUCAGCUCGCCACUCUCAAAACCCCAUGCGAUAGCCAGUUGGGACGAUUUACUUUCUCGUACAUGAGCACCCGUAACCGUAUUUAUUAGGGCAGACAUGGUAAACUAACCUUCAAUUAAUCACUCCUUGGUUACCACAAUCAUGUCCUAAACGUUAGGUUUUUCAGUAUGGAGGGAGUAAUUAAUAUGAUACCAACUAAGUAUGAAUAGAUUCUUCAUUAAUUAUAUUUUCAUAGUAUACUCACUUUACGUUACAAAUCUUAGUAUUUCUCUCCAUAAUUUUGGUCAAACAUGAAAAUGCUGACUCUCCAAUAUUCUUAGAAUGACUUACAAUUUGGAAUGGAGGGAGUAUAUGUGAAAACCCACCGACUUGUUGGCAAGCAAGAAGCGAAAAUGACAAUUAUUAAGGAAUUUGGCAUGAAAACAAAAGCAGCUAAUCCACCAAGACACGAGGUCAGUGCAAAAGCCACACUAUCCUUAGUGAGCUGAUAACUUUAUCAAUGAAAAGUAACCAGAAGAAAGACACACUACUAAAAAAAGCUUUUACAACGUUUAGUUUGGGCCCUCCGAGGCGGGCAGACUGGUUAACCGCCUCGGUUAAUGCUUGUAAUUAAUUGAGGCGGUUAUUUUUUAUUAACCGAGGCGGUCACAGUCAACCGCCUCGCAAAAUUGAUUUAAUAAGGCAGUUAUAUAGUAACCGCCUUCUAAAAUCAAUUAACUGAGGCGGUUUUUAUAAUCAGACUGCCUUGGAAAAUUAGGACAUUUUCGGAGGCGGGCCUCUUAAAUUGGCCCGCUUCGGUUAAUAUGGCUGAGGCCCAAGACGCCCAGUUGAGGCCCGAUAGGCGUGACAGGUAUAAAUCCCUAACUGAGGGUUUCUAUCCCACAUUGGCUCCAUCUCCUCUCCUCUCUCCCAUGCGAGCGGCGCCCUCUCUCUCUCUAUCCCGACACUCCUGCUUUCCCCACUCAUCUCCUCUCCCUCGCUCCUCCCACGCUCGAAGCCUUGCCUCCACUCUCAACAGCAUCCCCCCUCUCCAUGGUGGCGGGCAGUGGGCGGUGGCGUGGGGUUGUGGCGGCUCGCGGUGCGAGGCGAUGGAGGCUUGGUGGCGGCGGUGUGAGGCGCGCGAUGGAGGCACGGUGGCGCGGGGCACGGGGUUGCGAUGGCACAAGGAGCGAGCAGCGAGAUCUGGUCCCCUCUUCCUCUACGGCAGUGGAUCCGGUCUGCUCCUUCUUCUCCCUGGCUGGAUCCGAUGGAGGGCGGCCAAAUCCGGUGGAGGGUGGCUGGAUCCAUGGCAGGGCCGCCCCAGGCGAUGGAUCGAGGACCGACGUGCUUCCCAGCAAUGGAUCCAACGAAGGGGAGGAGGAUCCGGCAAGCAACGAUGGCGGCGCCCCAUGGAUGGGCUCGGCGGGCCCAUGGAUGGGCUCGCUGGGCUUAUCCAUGUUUUUUUUCUUUUUUAUUUGAUUUACCGAGGCGGACAGCAAACCGCCUCGGAAAAUGUCACAUUAACUGUGACCUUUGAUCCGAGACGGUUGGAAAAACCGCCUCGGUAAAGCUUAUUUGCCCGCCUCGGUUAAAAAUUGUGGCAGAACCUCCUGAAUUAAGUGGCCCACAUGCACCCAUCAUUGUCUCAAAGACUUCUGAUCAGCGUGCACGAGUUCCAAAUGACUCAAGAAGUCUGUCGGGUGUCCUCGGGAAACCCGAAUCAUCCACGUUUUAACUCAUACAGGAUCAACAUGGAGUUACCACAACAUUACAACAUCUGUUACAAAAAUAACUUACAUCAGAGUGCGGAAGGUUUAUAACUUAAUUUACAACAUGUGAUGAAUUAGAAACUUAACUAAAAUUUUAAAAGGUGUGUAGAGUAGCGAAAGCAUCUUAGGUGAAGCUUCUAAGGUAGAAGAGGUGGAUAAAUCAUGUCGCGCCCACCGACAUGACCUCCAAAAGCAGUCUAAGUCAGCACCUGCAACAGGGGUUAUAAAACCCUGAGUACAAAAGUACUCAACAAGACUUAACCGACUAGAAAAGAGGUGAAGACUCGGGUAUGCAGGCUAUAGGGAUUCAAGGUAAAGCUUUAUCAAGAUAAAGCAUUUCUUUUGCAUAAAAGCUUACUAAGAGUAAAACCUACUUUCAAGUUUUAACUCAAAAUCAUCAUUUAUGACUAACCCAAAACUAUUAUCAAACUUUCAUAAGCAUACCACCUCUUUCUCUUACCAAAGAUCCAUUUAUUACUACGAUGAUGGUACGAGGAUUGAGGCUCCAUAUCCGAGGAAACACGGCGAUUCGAAUCGAUUAAACCCAGCUGGGGAUUCAGUACCACACGACAUAUGUAGAACUUAAUCUUGCAUAUGUCAACCUUUUCUAUAGAUCCUCCCAUACAAGAACGGGUCCAGCGUCACCCGAGAGUACAGUACACCACCAUCCUACAGCCAAUCUAGAUGUUUCCCGGUCAUCUCAGAUCCGUAAGGUGGGUACACGCUACUCUCGCCAUCUCUCCACUCCCAGUACGCGGUUAGCCGUUCUCAAGUAUCGGAAUAGCUAUAGGUAAGGCUUACCACCGCAUGUGGGCUGUACUCAAAGGUCUCAAUCACAACAGGCCAACAACGGUACAGUCCUUAAUCGACACAGUUGGAGACACUACUUUAAGACUCCAUUCUUAAAGCAAGUCCACCGACCGGUCUCAAGUUUAAACAUCAUUAACCAUAAAAGUAUUCCACAACAACCCUUCAAACUUUCUCAUUUGAAAACCUAUCUAAUAAGCAGGGCUAAGCAUACUAAGUAUUUUCAUAAAACAAGUAUCAAGGGUAAUAUUGAAAUCAUCAAGGUAGAUAAUGCAGCAAAUAGGAUUCACUCAACUCCUAUUCACCUAAUGCAUCAUAUUAACUCAAGUGAUAUAAAUAACUUUAUGAAAAUACAAGGGUAGGGUUUAAUGUCCGGGGCUUGCCUUGGCCGGAAGGGUUUAAAUUUCAUACCAUUUGUAUAAGUAUAGCAAAUUCCAUAAAAAAGAUAAAUUUCCAUCACAAGGAAGCAUGUAACAACAAGAUAAAUAAGAAACUCGAUAUGUUCUACACACACAUAGCUAAAUUAUGUAUCUAUAUGAUAUAACAACCUCAUAUAAAGGUAGAGGAACCAUAUUUUACAUUUAUUCAUUUUUAGUUUAAUUGUAAACUAUUUAAUAAGCACUACACAAGAUAAAUCAAUAACUUAAUCAUAUGUCAUCCAAAGAAUCUAAAAACUUAACCACAGCACACACACAUAAUCAUUAAUCUACCAUAAAAUUUUCAUCUUAAAAGAAGCUAUACAGCAAUAGAUAUGAAUUUCUUCCUUUUAAGCAUAAUUAAAAGACAUAAUUCAUAACUAAUUAUUUUACUACAAAACAUGGACAGUUUCACAUUUUUAAUAAAAACGAGACAUCUUAAGGAGUACAACAAAAAUUGGUUCACCAAAAUUGGAGUUAACAAACUCCAGAUAUGAAUUUUCAAAGAUUCAACAAAACAUCCACAAACAAGUCCUUAUAGCACUAUUCACCUGAGUCACAGCCUGUGCAAUUAGACCCCUGGAGAACAUCAAAUUGUUGCCCGAAGUCCCUGGUCGCGAACUGGAAACAGGGAACUCGCCGGAGAUCGUGGUUUCGGCGUUGGAAAGCUCGUCGGCGGCAUUGGAGCAGCGGGGAAGCUUGCCCGGACUAGUGCGCACCUGCUGGUGGCCGUAGCUUGUCCCGCAAUGGCUCGAGGUGGCCUGGCCACGUUGAGGUGCUCCUCGGCGGCGUUUUUGGCCGGAGUGGAGGAAGAACGGACGUAGCCGGGGCUAGAAAUGGUUAGAGCUUGCACCAAGGGGCGCAAUCGGUGGCUUGGUUCGAGGCGGAGCUGCUGGUGCACUCGAACGGCUUGGAAACGGAGCGAGGGACGCGAAUUGGAGGAGCGCAGCAAGGUCGCCGGCGUCGGGUGCAAGGGGAAAGAACGAACGCGUCGUCCAGUGGGAAGGCUUUAUCGCGAAAAGGAAGGGACGCCGUGCCUCCACGUCGUCUGGCGACGCAGGCAGCCAAGCAGCUGCGUGCCUUCACGCACGCAGGCGGUGCUGCGCGGACGGCCGCCGCGAUGGACAGGGCUAUCGGCUACUGUAGCCAUGAUUAUCUCCACAUUUCUGAUUUUCUUUAAAUUACUCCAACAUUUUGAAUAGAAGUCAAAUUUUGGUCAAAACAAAAGUUUCCCAGAAUUUUGCACUCUACAAAACUUAUUUAAGGACCCAGAGCUAACUUUGAAUGGAAGAGGAUGAAUUUGGGCAAAAAAAUUUGAAAUUCAAAUCUCAAAUUGGGGAAAAACUGAUUUGAAUUGGGGGCAGAAUAGAAAUUCCAAAAUUACUUUUGAUUUUUCUCAAUAACUUGAAAAACUCCCAAAAUAAAAGUUGUUCAUUUUGAUGAGCCCUACAACUUUCAUGUUGGUCACUUUUCAAGAUUCUAAACAUAUUUUGAAUUGGGGAUUCAAAUUGGAAAAGGGGACAAUUUCUGGAAAUCUGUAUUUUCAAAAUUACUUUCAAUUUUGUAUUGAAACAUCAAAACCUCAAAACACCAAAGUUGUACACCUUGACAAGAUCUACAACUUUGCUUUUGAACUCAUCCCCAAAUUUUGCUUAGUUUUUAUGUUACACAAAAGGGGGUAAAAACUAGGGUUGAAAUUAGAGGUUUUUCUUAGCUAUUCCCUUACCACCCUCCUUAACUAGGGAUUAAACAACCAUCACAAGCAUCACUUCACAAGAUAAACACACUUUAAUUCCCUAAGCACAAGCAAUCAAGAUAAAGUUGUUUUAAUUUGAUGCAUCAAGUGGUGCUUAACAAAUAUGCUUUGAAAUGCUUAUGAUGACAUGAUCCAGUUUUAGUGUUCGUAACAUCAGGGAUGUUACAAAAAUUAAUGUAGUAGUGACAAAAGCUCCCUCUACGAAGGAUUAGUGUGAUCAACCAUACAACCAAACAAUUGAAGAAGCUCUUUUCAAAAUAUCUUCCCAUGGGAGAAAUCCAAUUUGUGCUUCAAAGCUAAAGGAAGAUCCAUCAAGAAAUCCAUGAAGAUGAAGAGAGAAGAAAACCUGAGAGGAUGCCAGAGCAACACAACGACAACAAUGGUGAAGCGGCAUCACAGUUGGGGAAGUGGAAGUGUCAGACUGACUCCAACAGACGACGCAUCUCGGUACCCAAACACAAAAUGCCUACUCCGCGAUGUUUUAUCGCAAAAAAAGACGCACCAACAGAUGACGCAAAUGGGGAACGCAUUUUGGGUGAGACGCGAUGGAGAACGCAAAUUUGCGUCGCUCUCUCUCCUCGACCCAAAUCUCAGACGUGCCUAAGCUAGGUUGGAUCACGGUAGCACGUCGUCCAUGGCGUUGCACCCUGGAUGAGGAGCAGCCGGCCGCGUGAGGCGGGCCCUUGCGACAGCGGAGCGGCCGCCGAGGCGAGGCUGGUCUACGGCGAGCCGAGGAACGGCCGACUCAACGAGGCGGGUCCAUGGCCAGCACAGCGAGGCAGGCCCGCGACGGGGAGCGGCCGGCGUGGCCAGACGAGACCACGGCGGGGCGAGGCGGGUCCAUGGUCGGCGUGGGGAGAAGCGGCCAGCGGGCGCGAGGCUCUGCUUUUGCGGUUGGUCGGCGUCGGGAGAUGGGGAGCAACAGGGAGAGCGUGUGGCGGCCGCAGGCGGGGAAGAAACGGGAGAGCGUGGGGCUGCGCGAGGGGAAGAAGGAGCGACCGCGCUGACGAAGAAGGAGACGCGACGCAGAGAGUGUGUGGUGGCCGUGCGUGGGCAAGACGGGGGAGCUUGCUCUGCUUUUGCGUUUGUUGUUGGAGAAGAUAAUGUUUGGGUCGCAUGACCCUUUGCUGUGCGUUACCCAAAUCGUUGAAUGAGUAUCAUGUUUGGGUUGUCCUUGUUGGAGAUAGCCUCACGGUGGGAAAGAGAGCUAUUUUUGUGUACUACUUGAAUGUUGUAGACUAUAUUGAGAACUACAACUUUGUUGGUAUAUAUCAUGACAACAUCUAAGGUUGAUUGAAAAUUUGAAAUUUCAAAAUUUAAGAAACUAAAACAAUAUUUUGACACUCCAAACAGUUUGAAAUUAGAAACUUCUCAGCCAAAAAGAUGUAGAUUGCGCCGAGGGCUGCAAUUUUGAUAUAAUGUUUGUCUUCGUGUGACUUCACAUGAAGUAGUUAUGAAUUAGUUGGGUUGAUGGACUAGUAUUCUUAGUGUACUUAGAAAAGACUAAGGCCUUGUUUAGUUCAAAAAGUGAAAAGUUUUCGGUACUGUAGCACUUUCGUUUGUUUGUGACAAAUAUUAUCCAAUCAUGGACUAACUAGGAUCAAAAGAUUUGUCUCGUGAUUUAUAGCUAAACUGUGUAAUUAGUUUUUGUUUUCGUCUAUAUUUAAUGUUUCAUGCAUGUGCUACAAGAUUCGAUGUGACGGGGAAUCUUGAAAACUUUUUUGUUUUCAGAGUGAAGUAAACAAGGCCUAAACGACUUUAGAACUAUAAGGGAGUACUAGUGUACUAGCAAGUUCGUGGCUGUGCAUACCGCAUACCUGUCAGUUGCAUAUGCACUGCACAGGAUCAAUACACAUUCGGUUUAAAAUUAGUUUUUCAAUGAUGAUGAGGGAUAUUAUUAUCCAUGUAUUGCACGCCAGUUGCACCAUAUGUCCAUAUCCAAUCCUACUUUAAUUUUAUAUAUGGAAUCACUCUCCAGCCUCGCCAUACAACGUCAAAGAAUUGUAGAGUGUGUGGCCUUCGACGUGACCGAGAUUAUUUGCAGGAAUUAUGUUACAAGUAACCUGCCAUAACUGCCUAAGAUUUGAUUCUAUAAUGGUAUGCUACUCGUGUUAACCGAUGCCUUCCAUUCCUCCAUGAUUCGCGCGGUACCCAUGUGACACGACGGACCUCGCGAGCUCCUCUAAUAACGCGGGUCAGGUGUAGGCGUGUAGCGACCAUCCAUGCCGCGGCCGGCCGGCCGGCCGGCGGAUUGGUAGUUCAAGCGUCCCCAUUUCCCUGUCCUGUGCCUGCCUAUAAAUACGACACCAGCAAUGUCCUCCACCUCACACCAUCGAAACACAAACCAGGCAGCAGCGAACUGCCAAGCAAAGCCGAGGUCCCUAGGCCACAGCUACUGCAACAAUGGCCACCGCGCUCUCCUUCAAGGCCGCCUUUGCAGUGGCCGCGCUCCUCUCCGUGGUCGCCGUCACCUAUGGCGCUCGCGCCCAGCAGCAGCCCGACCUGCACAACGCCACCGACUCGCAGUCGCAGGACAGAUCCUUGUUGUCCUACAGCAGUGGCUGGCUGCCGGCCAAGGCCACCUGGUACGGCGCGCCCACCGGCGCCGGCCCCGACGACAACGGUAAGGAUCCGCGCGCACUCCAAGCCAUCCAUCGAUCUCUCCAUGUCUGUAUAUGUUGUCCUCUGCAAUGUGGCCAUGCCUAAAUGUGUCUUGUUUGUCCUCAAU